Molecule: long non-coding RNA, 45146 nt
Filed under: Hordeum vulgare
Lineage: Eukaryota; Viridiplantae; Streptophyta; Magnoliopsida; Poales; Poaceae
Description: long non-coding RNA (HVUL_LNC013953)
Source: RNAcentral
UCUCCGCCACUCCAUCCCCUAGGGUCAUGGAUGGCGGCCUUCUUCCUCCUUGCAUUGCAUGGGCAUGGUGUUUUGUUCUUGUCCAGCCCAUCUUACUAUUCAAGAGAUUUGAUAUUGAUUGACACGCUGUUGGUCGAAUUUUAUUAGAAGUCAGUACUAAUGCUGCAGUUCGUCAGUCUGGAGAAGACAAUUUCUUCAGAGAUCAUUGUAUUUUCCUGAGCAGAACUGAUGUACUUGAAGCUUUAAUCAUGAUAGAACCCACCAUGAUAGAACUGAUGUACCUAAGCAGAUUUAUUAGAACCCACCAUACAUUUUAUUUCUAUAGAUUUAUUAGAACCCACCAUGAUAGAACUGACGUACCCGAGCAGACAAUGAGAGAGAUCUUGUCAUCUCUUCUCCUGGCACGAAGAACUUAAUCAUGGAGUAGAUUGAAGGUACACAAUUUCAGAUUUGUACGUGCAGAGGUGCGCUUAGUAACGACAGUUCUUGGCUUCAUUUACCGGAACAUCGUUAGGUCCUUACAUGAUCCUUAUUUGAUCAAAUUGCUGGUUAGUACUUUUACAGGAACAUGGAAACCAAAAUAUGUGCUCUGUAUCCAUUCUUAUCAUGUGUGUGCUCUCAAAAUCAAGCUUCAUGCUACAACGGCCAAUAUAACUUAAACCAACAAUCAUCUAAAGUUCUGAAGAUGCCUCACCAUGCAAUAUGUGUAGCUAACUGAAGAUAAAUUAAUGAUUUAUGUUCAUGUAUCCUUUUAAUACUGGUUCUUUUUUUCUGUUCAUGUUAUGCAAGCUGGAUUCAGCAGUUUUCUAUGGCUAAAAGUCAAUUGACAUGUCAAUAUACGCGAGCAUGUCUUUGCGUUUAGGAGUUGAGAAGACUUUGAGUGCACGCCAAGGGAAAGGUGAAUCAGUUGAUGUAGGUGAAUUUUCUUGAAAUGAAAGUGUGGCUUCUUAAAUACCAAGCUUAUAUGGAAGUGNNNNNNNNNNNNNNNNNNNNNNNNNNNNNNNNNNNNNNNNNNNNNNNNNNNNNNNNNNNNNNNNNNNNNNNNNNNNNNNNNNNNNNNNNNNNNNNNNNNNAUGAUGUGUCUGAACGUCAUAGCCACGCACUAUUUGGUAUGGUGCAUACUAUGAUGUCUCUUAUCGAAUUACCACUAUCGUGUAUGGGUUAUGCAUUAGAGACAACCGCACUUACUUUAAAUAGGGCACCGCGUAUUUCUGUUGAGAUGACACAGUAUAGAAUGAGGUUUAGAGAAAUCUAAACUGUUGUUUCUUGAAAGUUUGGGGCUUCGACACCUAUGUGAAAAAGUUUCAGUCUGAUAAGCUCGAACCCAAAGCGGAUAAAUGCAUCUUCAUAGGAUAUCCAAAACAGUUGGGUACAUCUCCUAUCUCACAUCGAAAGCAAAACAAAACAGUUGGGUACAUCUCCUAUCUCAGAUCCGAAAGCAAAGUGUUUGUUUCUAGAAACGGAUCCUUUCUCGAGGAAAGGUUUCUCUCGAAAGAAUUGAGUGGGAGAGUGGUAGAACUUGAUGAGGUUAUUGAACCAUCACUUCAACCAGUGUGUAGCAGGGCGCAGGAAGUUGUUCCUGUGGCACCUACACCAAUUGAAGUGGAAGCUGAUGAUGGUGAUCAUCAAGCAUCAGAUCAAGUUACUACAAGCCUCGUAGGUUGACAAGGUCACGUACUACUACAGAGUGGUACGGUAACCAUGUCUUGGAGGUCAUGUUGUUGAGCAACAGUGAACCUACGAGUUAUGGAGAACGCGAUGGUGGGCCCAGAUUCCGACAAAUGGGUGGAAGCCAUGAAAUCCGAGAGAGGAUCCAUGUAUGAAAACAAAGUGUAGACUUUGGAAGAACUACUUGAUGGUGAGAGGACUAUUGAGUAAAGAUGGGUCUUUAAAAGAAAGACAGACGAUGAUGGUGAUAAAUCACUAUUAAGAAAAGCUCGACUUGUCGCAAAGAUGUUUCCGACAAGAUCAAACUGUUGACUAUGAUGAGUCUUUCUCACUCGUAGCGAUGCUAAAGGUCUGUUAGAAUUAUGUUAGUUGUUGAUGCAUUAUUUAUGAAAUAUUGCACAUCGGAUGUCAAAACAUUGUUUUCUCAACGGUUUCUUUGAGCAAACAUUGUAUGUGAUACAACCAGAAGGUUUUGUCGAUCCUNNNNNNNNNNNNNNNNNNNNNNNNNNNNNNNNNNNNNNNNNNNNNNNNNNNNNNNNNNNNNNNNNNNNNNNNNNNNNNNNNNNNNNNNNNNNNNNNNNNNUGUGUACUUUACUAGUACUCCUAGUAGCACGAGGGUAUUGGAUACCGAUUCGGUUGCUAAGUGAUUAGUGACGCGAAAUGAAAGCUACGGCAUAAACGGAUACUAGCUAGAGGCGAGGUGACGAUACGUGUUGGAAGUGUUUCCAAGAUUGAUAUGAUCAAACGUCGCACGCUCCCUCUACCAUCGGGAUUGGUGUUAAACCUAAAUAAUUGUUAUUUGGUGCUUACAUUAAGCAUGAACAUGAUUGGAUCGUGUUUAUUGCAAUACGAUUAUUCAUUUAAAGAGAAUAAUGGUUACUCUAUUUGCUUGAAUAAUCACCUUCAAUGGUUUAUUGAAUCUCGAUCGUAGUGUUACACAUGUUCAUGAUAUUGGUGCCAAAAGAUACAAGUUGAUGAUGAUAGUACCACUUACUUGUGGCACUGCCGCUUGAGUCAUGUUAGUAUAAAUUGCAUGAAGAGGCUCCAUGCUGAUGGAUCUUUGUACUCACCUGAUUUCGAAUCACUAGUGACAUGCGAAUCAUACCACAUGAGCAAGGCCUUGUUUUCAUUGAGAUGAAAUAAGAUAGUAACUUGUUGGAAGUGAUACAUUUUGAUGUAUGCAGUCCAAUGGGUGCUGAGGCACGCAGUGGAUAUCAUUAUGUUCUUACUUCACUGACGAUUUGAGUAGAUACAGGAGUAUUUACUUAAUGAAUCACAAGUCUAAAAUGUUGAAAAGUUCAAUUCCGUUUCAGAGUGAAGUUCGUCGUAACAAGAGGAUAAACUGUCUACGAUAUGAUCAUGGAAAUGAAUAUCCGAGUUACGAGUUUUGGUACACAGUUAAGACAAUGUGGAAAUUGUUUCGCAGUUCAUGCCACCUGGAACAUCAUAGUGUGAUGAUGUGUCUGAACGUCAUAGCCACGCACUAUUUGGUAUGGUGCAUGCUAUGAUGUCUCUUAUCGAAUUACCACUAUCGUGUAUGGGUUAUGCAUUAGAGACAACCGCAUUCACUUUAAANNNNNNNNNNNNNNNNNNNNNNNNNNNNNNNNNNNNNNNNNNNNNNNNNNNNNNNNNNNNNNNNNNNNNNNNNNNNNNNNNNNNNNNNNNNNNNNNNNNNUUUAAUUCAAAAUUCCUAUUUUUAGUAUGCAAAUUUUUUUGUAAUUCUAAAUUAUUUAAAUUAUAAAUAAAAAAAAGUGGAACAGAAAAUUUUAAAUAAAAAAAACUAUCAAAACAGGCAUUAGCUAUUUUUAAAAUUUUAGGACAUUUUUUAAAUGCAUUAACAUAUUUUGAAUUAGAAAGCAUUUUCUUAAAUGCCUUUAAUAAUUUUUAAUACAUGGAAUUGUAUUUGAGAUCAUGGACUUUUUUAUUGUACACACAUUUUUCUAAAAUUGCAAACAUUUUAUUGUAUAUGCUAGCAUUUUUUACAAAACUCCGAGCAGUUUUUGAAGUUACAAACAUUUUAAUUUUUAAAAUAUGUUGAUUUAUAAUUUUCAGUUUAUUAAAAUUUUAAAGAUUAUUUGAAGUUCUAAAUUACUUAAAAUAAAAUAAUAAAACGGAAUUGAAAAUAAAUAAAUAAACAAAACUAAAAGCAGGCGCCUGUGCAUGGGCCGGCCCAUACGGUGUGUUGGAUAUUCUCCCAGCGUGCUGAGCAUAAUAUAGGAUGUUUUUACAUGGGCUGGCCCGGUUCAAGACUUUUCGCUUUGUGAAACGUUUUCUAUUACUUACCAGUGGCAUGGUGGGUAAUUUAUGCAAACUUUAGGGGUAAUUUUCAAAACGGACGACCAGAAACCGUAUUUGCUUUAUUAUUAGGGAAAGNNNNNNNNNNNNNNNNNNNNNNNNNNNNNNNNNNNNNNNNNNNNNNNNNNNNNNNNNNNNNNNNNNNNNNNNNNNNNNNNNNNNNNNNNNNNNNNNNNNNAUCAUCAUUAACUUCCUCCUCAACCGGCGUCGCAACGACAGAGGUUUCCCCUUGCCCUGCGCCACCAUCCAGAGGGAUGAGAGGUUCGACAACCUCGUCAAGUUCUAUCUUCCUCCCACUCAAUUCUCUCGAGAGAAACUCCUUCUCGAGAAAAGUUCCGUUCUUAGCAACAAACACUUUGCCCUCGGAUUUGAGAUAGAAGGUGUACCCAACUGUCUCUCUUGGGUAACCUAUGAAGACGCACUUUUCCGCUUUGGGUUCCAGCUUUUCAGGCUGAAGCUUUUUGACAUAAGCAUCACAUCCCCAAACUUUAAGAAACGACAACUUUGGCCUUUUGCCAUACCACAGUUCGUAUGGUGUCGUCUCAAUGGAUUUCGAUGGUGCCCUAUUUAAAGUGAAUGCAGCUGUUUCUAAUGCAUAACCCCAAAAUGAUAAUGGCAAAUCAGUAAGAGACAUCAUAGAUCGCACCAUCUCUAACAAAGUACGAUUACGACGUUCGGACACACCAUUACGCUGUGGUGUUCCAGGCGGUGUUAACCGCGAAACAAUUCCACAUUGUCGUAAGUGAGUACCAAACUCGAAACUCAGAUAUUCACCCCCACGAUCAGACCGUAGGAACUUGAUCUUCUUGUCAUGAUGAUUUUCCACUUCACUCUGAAACUCCUUGAACUUUUCGAAUGUUUCAGACUUGUGCUUCAUCAAGUAGACAUAACCAUAUCUACUUAAAUCAUCAGUGAAGGUGAGAAAAUAACGAUAUCCGCCACGUGCCUCUACGCUCAUUGGACCACACACAUCGGUAUGUAUGAUUUCCAAUAAGUCACUUGCACGCUCCAUUGUUCCGGAGAACAGAGUUUUAGUCAUCUUGCCCAUGAGGCAUGGUUUGCACGUGUCAAGUGAAUCAAAGUCAAGUGACUCCAAAAGUCCAUCAGCAUGGAGUUUCUUCAUGCGCUUUACACCAAUAUGACUUAAGCGGCAGUGCCACAAAAAUAUGGCGCUAUCAUUGUUUACUCUAACUCUUUUGGUCUCAAUGUUAUGUAUAUGUGUAUCGCUAUCAAGAUUCAAUAUGAACAAUCCUCUCACAUUCGGUGCAUGACCAUAAAAGAUGUUACUCAUAGAAAUAGAACAACCAUUAUUCUCAGACUUAAAAGAGUAACCGUCUCGCAAUAAACAAGAUCCAGAUAUAAUGUUCAUGCUCAACGCAGGCACUAAAUAACAAUGACUUAAGUUCAUCACUAAUCCCGAUGGUAGCUGAAGUGACACUGUGCCGACAGCGAUUGCAUCAACCUUGGAACCGUUUCCUACGCGCAUCGUCACUUCAUCUUUCGCCAGCCUUCGACUAUUCCGCAGUUCCUGUUUCGAGUUGCAAAUAUGAGCAACAGAACCGGUAUCGAAUACCCAGGCACUACUACGAGAGCCGGUUAAGUACACAUCAAUAAUAUGUAUAUCAAAUAUACCUGAUUUUUCUUUGCCCGCCUUCUUAUCUGCCAGAUACUUGGGGCAAUUGCGCUUCCAGUGACCCAUACCCUUGCAAUAGAAGCACUCCGUUUCAGGCUUAGGUCUAGCCUUGGGUUUCUUCGGCGGAUUGGCAACAGGCUUGCCGCUCUUCUUCGAAUUUCCCUUCUUGCCUUUGCCGUUUCUCUUGAAACUAGUGGUCUUGCUCACCAUCAACACUUGAUGUUCUUUACGGAGUUCAGACUCUGCGACUUUCAGCAUCGCAAACAACUCGCCGGGAGACUUGUUCAUCCCUUGCAUGUUGUAGUUCAACACAAAGCCUUUAUAGCUUGGCGGCAGUGAUUGAAGGAUUCUGUCAGUGACAGCUUCUUGCGGGAGUUCAAUCCCCAGCUCAGCUAGACGGUUUGAGUACCCAGACAUUUUGAGUACAUGUUCACUGACAGACGAGUUUUCCUCCAUCUUGCAAGCAUAGAAUUUAUCGGAGGUCUCAUACCUCUCGAUCCGGGCGUUCUUCUGAAAGAUAAACUUCAACUCUUGGAACAUCUCAAAUGCUCCAUGACGCUCAAAGCGACGUUGAAGUCCCGGUUCUAAGCCAUACAAGACUGCACAUUGAACUAUUGAGUAGUCCUCCUUACGUGCUAACCAAACGUUCUUAACAUCCUGAUCAGCCGUAGCGGGUGGUUCAUUUCCUAGCGCAGCAUCAAGGACAUAAUCCUUCUUCCCAGCUUGUAAGAUUAGCCUAAGAUUACGAGCCCAGUCUACAAAGUUGCUUCCAUCAUCUUUCAACUUAGCUUUCUCUAGGAACGUAUUAAAAUUCAGGGUGACUGUUGCGUGAGCCAUGAUCUACAACACAAACAUAUUCAAAGUGGACUUAGACUAUGUUCAAGAUAAUUAGAGUUCAACUUAAUCAAAUUAUGUGCUAAACUCCCACUCAAAAAGUACAUCUCUCUAGUCAUUUGAGUGGUUCAUGAUCCACCUACACUAUCCCAAGUCCGAUCAUCACGUGAGUCGAGAGUAGUUUCAGUGGUAAGCAUCCCUAUGCUAAUCAUAUCAACUAUAUGAUUCAUGAUCGACCUUUCGGUCUCAUGUGUUCCGAGGCCAUGUCUGCACAUGCUAGGCUCGUCAAGCUUAACCCGAGUGUUCUGCGUGCGCAACUGUUUUGCACCCGUUGUAUGUGAACGUUGAGUCUAUCACACCCGAUCAUCACGUGGUGUCUCGAAACGACGAACUGUAGCAACGGUGCACAGUCGGGGAGAACACAAUUUCGUCUUGAAAUUUUAGUGAGAGAUCACCUCAUAAUGCUACCGUCGUUCUAAGCAAAACAAGGUGCAUAGAAGGAUUAACAUCACAUGCAAUUCAUUAAGUGACAUGAUAUGGCAUCAUCACGUGCUUCUUGAUCUCCAUCACCAAAGCACCGGCACGAUCUUCUUGUCACCGGCGCCACACCAUGAUCAUCCAUCAACGUGUUUCCAUCGUGGUUGUCGUGCUACUUAUGCUAUCACUACUAAAGCUACAUCCUAGCAAAAUAGUAAACGCAUCUUCAAGCACAAACGUUAGUAUAAAGACAACCCUAUGGCUCCUGCCGGUUGCCGUACCAUCGACGUGCAAGUCGAUAUUAUCUAUUACAACAUGAUCAUCUCAUACAUCCAAUAUAUCACAUCACAUCGUUGGCCAUAUCACAUCACAAGCAUACCCUGCAAAAACAAGUUAGACGUCCUCUAAUUUUGUUGUUGCAUGUUUUACGUGGUGACCAUGGGUAUCUAGUAGGAUCGCAUCUUACUUACGCAAACACCACAACGGACAUAUAUGAGUUGCUAUUUAACCUCAUCCAAGGACCUCCUCGGUCAAAUCCGAUUCAACUAAAGUUGGAGAAACCGUCACUUUCCAGUCAUCUUUGAGCAAAGGGGGUUACUCGUAACGAUGAAACCAGUCUCUCGUAAGCGUACGAGUAAUGUCGGUCCAAGCCGCUUCAAUCCAACAAUACCGCGGNNNNNNNNNNNNNNNNNNNNNNNNNNNNNNNNNNNNNNNNNNNNNNNNNNNNNNNNNNNNNNNNNNNNNNNNNNNNNNNNNNNNNNNNNNNNNNNNNNNNCACUCUGAUCGGCAAUGUUGUGGAAGCAGGAGGGAAGAAGAGGUGGGGAUCUCACGAGGGCUCUUAAGAGAAGGAAGGAAGAUAGCGAGAAGAUGAGAGGAGAAAUUAGACGGUCUCCUUACACCAAAUAUUGUUCAAUCGUUUGGACUUUAUUAAUCUAUCUAUAUAUACGUAUAAAGUUGAAACACAUAGCCUUUUUAUGAGAACCUAAAAAACCCGAUGUCAACUGCGUCUCAAACUUGUUUAGCACACAAAAUCCAGAUGACGAUCGAAUAACUCUAGAUGAAUAUAUGUCGUCCUUGUGAGGACGUCAGGUUUCUUGGCGAAAGAAAGAAUGUCAGUUGAAGUGAACAGAAUAAGCAUCAAAUCAGGCAAGGGGAAAUACUAAAAAGAUGCGAUUCGAGUAGCGACGGAAGCGCGUUGGUAAUCCAAAGGGAAAGGUGGCAGCCGGCCGUGGCGCAUGCAAAUCCAAAUCCAAGGAGCCACCACCACACCAUACCACCAACCCUGCUCCUGCUCCUGCUCCCACGCCACCGUCUCACGCGGGUGCCGAGCCGCCUCCUUGCCGAGAUUGGGAGAGUGUGGUGGUGUGGCCGCGUGUGCCUCUCCCUUUCGCUCUCCCCCUAGGCUUGCUCUUAUAUAUACUCCAGUACAACGCGUUUCCCAAAGCCCCAAUCCCGCAGCGCUCGGCUCCUCGAUCCCCCGCCCCCGACGACACCACCCUCCAUUGCCAUUAUUCCCCUUCCCCACACGCUACUGUACUACUGCUACUCAGCUCCACCGCCGCCACCAACGUCGCGGAAGCGCGCGAUGGCGCCGAAGCGGCCGCUGGAGGUUGUGUCGCCGGAGCAGGUGCAGGAGGGGCCGCGGUCCCCGAGGAAGCGGCUGCGCAGGACGGUGCUCGUCGUGAUGUGCCCCGCGCGGAUCUGCAUGCGCUACAGGGAGAGGAGGAGGGCGAGCGCGGCCACCGUCGAGCAGCUGGCGCAGAUGAUUCGCCGGGUGAGGCCAGGCCAUUCGUUCGAUCCCUCUCCCCGCGUUCCGGUUUUGUUCUCUUCGCUGUGCCUGUGCCUGUGCGUAGCCUACUGAUGAUGAUGAUAAGUCUGGUGGGUCGUGCGACAGGUGCAACUCGACAUCGCGAGACUUUUCAUGCUCUUCAGGGUGUUUGGUGGUGACUCCAUGUCCAUGGACAGGCUGCUAGUGCUCCUCGACCUCCCCAACAUAAUCCAGAGAUUGUUGGCGGAGCAGCUUGCUGCUCUUCAGAGGUAUAUACACAUAUCAUUUAUGUUUUGCAAGCACUCGUGUCCAUGCCAGAAUUGAGAUGCCCGAAUAUAUAUAGCUAGGAAAUGUCACAUUUCGAUUUCAGGAAACUUUAGAGUAGUAAUAAUUGAAGCCCUGGUUUGCUUUCUGGGACCUGCAUGCCAUUUUUAUCCUCUGUUUGAGAAACAAGCAUCCAUCGUUUUGCCUUUUUGAUUGAUUGAUUGAUGACAAGAUUGAUGUUGACAACAUGACGGCUCAUAUUUUUGGAAACGAAAACUUGACAAGCAUAGUAGUAGUACUAUUCCAGGUUCAGGUUGUCAGGUUAUAUUCAUCGAGUGUGAGUAAAUGAAUUAUAUAUAGAUUUGUCCUUCCUAGCUAAAUAUAUGGAAAUUGUCUCUGUGUCUAUUUAUUUAGUACUCCUGUCCUGUUAUACUUUGGAAUGUUGUGGAUGCAUGCGAUGUGAUGGAUCGAUGCUUCCUUGGUUUAAUUAUUAAUUAAUCUAUCUCCUGUUGUGUAUUGUUUUGUAUCCAACAGUUUUUUCAUGGUAUCCAUACAAGAUAUGGUUCGAUCGACACUACAGACAGCGGUUAGAAUCUGGAUCUUCAUCCGUGUAAUAUGUUUUGUAUAUCUGUACCUGCACUUUAUCUUAACUCAAUGUUGCUAUGUCAUGCAACAGAUGCAGGGACGACAGGAAGCUCUGGUUCCUAAUGUCAUUAAUGACCCUCCUAGGUACCUGCCAUUUUUUUAAUUGUAAUUGUUUUUUGAUUUAUUUCAUGAUACCUAGCGUCAAAUCAAGUAUUUGCUUUCUACAUAAUCUGGGAAGUUUCCUUUUGUUACUGUCUCACUCUCAUCUUAUUUCAAAAUAUAGGCACAUGCGACAAGGUUUUCCUGAUACUGGAGGCAACACUCGAGUCAAGCUGCGGUUUGUCGAUGUUGACAGACCAGAAAAUCCACUUUUCACUGGUUGCCCAGUAAAAUGGCAGAAUGGAGAAAACCCAAAGGUGGCGAUAUUUGAAAAUAAUACGCAAAUCACGCAGGGCGAACUUUCCAAGUUGCAAAUUGAGAUCUUAGCAGUCAAUGCUGAUUUCUUUACUGAGCAAGGACAAGAAGACUUCACCAAAGAGCAAUUCAACAAGCAAAUAUAUUUGUGUAAGGGAAAAGAUUCAGUCUUAACAACUGUUAAUCUAGCAAACGGCGAGGCCUAUAUUGGCUCCUUCUUCUUUACUGAGAGCUCCCAGAGGAAAAGGUUAAGAUUGACAGCACGAGUGAAAAAACAGGAUCUUGAUGUCAGAGUUCAAGAAGCAAUUACUGAUCCUUUUGUUGUCCAAGUCAGCCGAAAUAAAGGUGAGUAUGUCCUCUUAUCCAUUCUGAACAUCAAACCUUUUUAACUACUCCCUCCGUUCCUAAAUAUAAGUCUUUUAAGCGAUUUCAUUAAAGGUCUAUAUACGAAGCAAAAUGAUUGAAUCUAUACUCUAAAGUAUGUCUAUAUACAUCCGUAUGUAGUCCACUAGUGAAAUCUCUACAAAGACUUAUAUUUAGGAACGGAGGGAGUAUAUGGCAUUGGAAAUUUAAUACACUCUGUAAUUUGCUCAUUAAAUUAAUCAUUUAUUGCUUGCCAUAGUUGGUUGAAGAACAUGUUCGCUGAUUUGAGUAAAAACAAUGCUAAAGCACACAUCAUAUCUUUCAUACAAUUUUAUUUUACCUGAUUUGCAGUGAUAUUAUAUUAUCUGAAAAUAUGAAGUCUUAGCACUAAUUGUUCUGUCACGAAGUGCUGUUCAAAACGGCGACGCUCAGGCACCUCACCUAGGGCAUAAACCGAGGUCUAGGCAGGCCAAGCGAGAAAUUGUCGACUCCAGCGAGAGAUCAGGACAUAUUGCACUGACGGGCCAAAUGGGCCAUAUACCAAUGGACAGUAGCCGGUAGUUUACUCAUUUACAUGCCCUUAAUUAAUGGUUAUAAGCAUAUACUCCCUCCGUACCUAAAUACUUAUAGUUCUCUCCAACUACAAGUAUUUAGGUACAAAGGGAGUAAUACACAAAUACACCCUGACAGUCAAAACUGCAUGAAGUACUGCACUUGGAUUUGGGACGGCACUUUUCUUCGGUCAUUACAUAUUUUAUUUUGAGUUCUAUAUUAGGUCGUAGAUUAAUAAUGAGCAUGCUAGAUCGGUUUAUAAUUCACCAUGUACAUUAAUCCUUUCCUGAAUACCAUUAUCAUCAGAUGCAAUGGUAGCCAGAAUGAAUGAAUUGCAUAUUAGCAAUCUUGUCUUAACACAUCAAACAUUUUUGUUUACUUUCAGCAAAUAAAAAGAGUUAUCCUCCAUCUAAACAAGAGGCAGUACAUUGUUUGGAGAGAAUUGCUGCAGAUGGAAAACAUUGCCAGUACCUAGCUGGUAAAAGUAUUACUACGGUGAAGCACUUCAUGCGUCAUUAUCACAUAGAUAAAUCUAGUCUCCAAAAGGUAAAUAUACAGUUAUAAACUUGUGAUGGUAUUUCUACAGUCUUCAGUGCUUCAAAUUAUCAGCAAUAGAUAUAAUUAGUCAUUGUCAGGAAUCAGAAAUAAAAUAUCCAGCAUCUCCUAAGAAUGAUUUUGACUACAUGCUAUAUGUAUUCAUGUGCACUAUGCAUGGCAUCUGGUAGCAUUUCAUUGAUUUCUAAGAGAACUGUCUUGAUUUCUUGCAAUUAGCUUACUGACAUGAAGAACGAGAAUUGGAGUACCUUGAUUAAACAUGCCACCACGUCUGAUCCUGGGGUUGAGAUAUAUUCUUAUGGAGUUGCAGAGGAAAAUAUUGAACUUCUAUUCAAUGAUUUCUAUUAUCUUGUUGGUAUGAUGAUUGGUGGAGACUAUGUUCCUGUCAAUGAUCUUGAUCAGCUUCAGCAGGUAUACGUUUGUUCAAUUUCCAUCGCAAUUAGGCUGUUGGCAUUCACUAAAAUAAUAUUGUGCUAGCAAUUAUCUUGGAAAUGCUGUCAUGUGGUUACAAGGUACUCCCACCGUCCCAUAAUAUAAGAGCGUUUUUUACACUCUUAUAUUAUGAGACGGAGGGAGUAUAUAGCAAGAUUUACAUUUGGAAAUUGGACUGCUUCCUAAUGUCAUAGUGAAUAACUAUUGGAUAACCUAACUCUGGCAUUGCUGAACCAAAACAAGGUAAAAUGAUGUUAUUGUACGUAUAGUUAGGACCAAUGUAUGCAUUUUCUCAUGUCGAGACUCUGUUUCUGUACUGUAGAGUUUAUUUUAUCAAUAAAGAUAUGCACGCGUGAUGAAAAUGUGUUGUACUAUUACUUUUUGUUUCCAAUAUCUAAAAACCUAGAAUAAGAAAUAUAUGGAGCAGUUUGAUUGCCAACUUGCGGUGUUUCUGUGCCCGCACAGUGUAAACACAUUCGAACAUAGUGGAUUCAACAGAGGGAGGAUCUAAUCACCAUCCUAGUGCACUUAACUGAAAAUCCUUAAGAUGACCAGAGAGAAUAUAAACACUUUAUUAGCACCAAUAGAUUGCCUUCCUAUUCAAAUAUUGCUUUCCGAUGGUUUAGAAGAUUUUAUAAACAUCUGAGCAUUAGAUGCUUUGCUGUAUACUCCCUCCGUUCGUAAAUAUAAAUCUUUUUAAAGAUUUCACUAGGGGACUACAUACGGAACAAAAUUAGUGAAUCUACAAUCUAAAAUAUGUCUAUAUACAACCGUAUGUAGUCUCCUAGUAAAACCUCUAAAAAGACUUAUAUUUAGGAACGGGGGAGUACAAAUCUACAAGCAAGCAUGCACUUGCACAUUGUGACAGCGAUGACAUAAAUGAAACAUUCUGUUACAGCAUAAAGCGAACAACUGGAAAAAAUCUGCAUAUAAGAAAUUUGAAGAGCGGGAGAGCUCAGGGGGUCUUACCCCUGAUUACUUCAUGAACAAGAACAAUGGCCGCCCUGUCCCUGUCCGUGAAGUGCCUCUGAACAAUGAUGCAGGUCCUUCUGUACAAGCUAGAACUACGUGGCAAUAUCCUAAUGACAUGGCUGCACAACACGGUGAUUUUUUAUAUUUUAGUCCAUCGCUGUUGCCCUACAUGUUUCACUAAAUUCAACUUAUUGCAGAAUUUGGUGAUCAACGUCCAUUGAGUGUGUUCUCACGGGCCGCAAUCCUGUCAAACAAUGAUGCUGGUCCUUCAAACCAAGAAACACUGCUGUUUCCACAGCACACGUAUGAACAGAUUCUGCAUCAAGGUUAAUAUUAAACACCUGCAUAAUUUUGUAUCACACAUCCUCUAUACUGUAAUUGCUUCUUCAUCGCAACUUUUUGUUGUUUUUGUUGACUUCUGAUGGUUUUGGUGGUUAACUUACUGUAGGACUUGGUGAGCACGGUCCUUCUAUUCCACAGAAUGGAACUCCUUACUGUCUGCCCCAGGAAAAUAUCUUAAAUGAUCAGGGACAAUUUUCAGCACAGUCCACUAUUCCGCCCCGCAAUUUUUCACCGGUAAGUAAAGUUACCUAUGGCACAAUCAACAAUUCCAUCCUGCAAUUUUUCAUUGACAACCUGAACUCUUUCGUGGAUGCUAGGUUCCACAGGAUGACAUGAUCACAGGUGCAAGUCUAGCUGCCCAGGGAGAGGGAACCUCUUCACUUGGCCAUGUUUUUGCUGACCUUUCCAGUGGGUUUCCUUCAGAUCAAGUAUGUGUUCAUUUGAAUAAGUAUCUUUGUACUGACUUAAGUAUAUCAGUAUGUAGCAGUUAUACGGCUUUAAAUUUUUUCCUUUGUUAUGUCAUGAUGGUGUUUGUCUUGCAGUUCGGGGACUGCAACGGCCUGGAUCUGGAUAUAACUGAAUAUAUGAAGAACAAUGGCAUUGCACCAGCUAACAACGGUAUGCAAAUAUUUGAAAUUUCAAUACCCAUGGUACCACAGUGAAAAGGCGAUAAAUUUACGCGAUUUUCAAUGCCUUAGUGAUAACUUCUGUUGAUAUAAGCUCAACUGCUAAAUCAGGGAGCUUGUGUUGCAAUCAUCUUCCACAGUCAGAACUCUUUCCAUUUCAAUCUAGGAUGAUAGCAAAUUGGUAUUUACCUUCAUUAAAUCUAGAGUGUGCAUGUUUGACUGAUGACUACCAAACUGUUGAAACCCCGGCUGCUUAAAAGUUAAAUCUAGGCCUGGAUUUAAGAUCCUCCUCUUGAUCCGUGCGCUAAUGUCAUGUUUCUUUUGUUUCAGCAGACCUGUGGAACGCUAACGCCCCAUUUGAUGGUUAUGGACAUGAUGGUGGCAACCAGUGAUUGAUUAAACUUGAGACCACUGCAACAGGCUUAAUUUCCUCUACUAGACUCAUGAUGAUGGCAGUGUGUGAUUAAAUUAUUUGUGGUGAUUAAACAUUUCGUCUGUAAAUAUUGGUAGUGUUGCCAGUCCUAAUAGACAAUAUUGUUCAGCAACGUUAAAUUUGCUGUUGGUUGUAAUAGACAUUUGGCUUGUAUUCCUAAAAGCAAAUCUUUCAGAACAAGAACAUAUGUAACAUGUAUCGAAUACCUAGAGCGAAUAUUCAUAUUGAUUGACGAACUUCCGUCCGAUCCUGUUAAUCCAUCCUUAAUCCUUUUCUAAGUUGAGCAAAUAUUCGUACUGCAGAACUUGCUUGGUGUAAUCCUGUUAAUCCAUCUUCUUCCAAGUUAAGUGUUUCCUAUGGAUAUUCACACAUUGGCUGUAUGCAUCAAUUGAUGCAGAGGCCGGUGGUUUUAACCUCCUUUUCCAAAAAAAAAAGAAAAGAUGUUCACGCAUUUUCAGUCAUAGUUUGUUGUGCAUUAUGAAAUCGCUCUCAGCAAUUUGAACAUGGUAAAAAUACACAGAAGAGAAGAGGAGAGAGAACAUGAUAGUUGUACUACAAGAUUUCAGUUUCGUAAAUACCACAGAGCUUCCAUUCCUCCUACACCAAGUCCACACAGAUCGACACCACAAGCCCUCAUCCUCCGCUGCCCAUCUGCCAAAGCAAACAAGAACACACAAGACAGUUCAGGCAGGCAUGGAUGCAGAGUUCACCUGAGUUGGGAGGGACUGACUAGCCAACCAUGCAAAUGCAAGCAGGGCGGAGAAUUAGUAGCCGAUGUCGGCGCCGUCGUCGACCAAGGUCGCCGUUGAUGCCGGGGAUAGGUAUCGAUCACACGGUGUUAUGGGCCCUGGUCAAGAUCGCAGGAGGAGACGCUUCAAUCUGGCGAGAUCCCGGCUCUCGUUGCUGCUCUCUCGGAGGUGGAUCUCAUCUGGGAUAAUAUAUAUGGCAGAAUUUCCAAGGAAAUGCACGGUUGCCUUGUCGGCUGAGUGUAACUUCCAGGUCGCAACCUUUGUACGAGCAGCCGAAUGAGCAGGAACGAGUACACAUCACAUUUUAUUGACUCAUGCGUGGGUGGUGUAAACAACGGAAAUGAUUUGCGUACGACGAUGCAUGUCCGAAGCACGUACGACGAUGCAUCCGCAUCGUGAGCUAGCUAACCCGUUGAAAGACAUACGGCUUGAUUUGAUGGUCGUACGUGGUUCGGAUGAGAAUCGUCGUACGUGUAGCACUGCUCAGUCUUGGGUGGUGUAAACAAAGUCUUCUUAGGGUAUGUACAAUGGUUGAUAAGAUAGUUUUAUUUCAAGUUUUACAUGUAAUUUAUAGAUGAUAAAAAAAGUCUUACAAUGAAUCACCUCUUAAUUGUUCUCUCUUAAAUAAGAAAAGACAAAUUUUUUUUAUGAGUUAUCUUUCCUCCACCUCAUCAUUUAUCUUACAUGACACUACUAAGAUAGCAUCAUUGUACAUGUCCUUAUGUGACAGGAAAAAAAAACCAACAGCCCUACCAGGAAAUAAAACAAACGUGUGAAGCACGUGUUGUGCAUGAGAGUGAUUUUGUUUUCUUAACUCAUGCCUUUUGGUUUAUUGCACUAUCUUUCUUUUAACACGCAAGCGUUUAUAUACACGUACAUAGACUGAGCCGGCAUAUCAUGAAAUUUAUGAAUAAAUUCAGAAAUAAAUGCGAACAUCAGGAUUUAAACCCUGAUGAGCUAUGAAUAUCACAAUCUCUCUAACCAUCCAACCACAGACUGGUUCGCAUUGUACUCUUCGUCGUACUAUCUUUUCAAUGUGUUACUUGUUGUCCUUAAUAAUUAUCAUAUCUAAGAUGCCCUUUGGGUGUGUUUCGUACUAUGAAAAAGGGUCCUGCAUGGAUAGAGAGAGCGUGUGCUGACGAGACAGCAUAAAAUGUUUCACCAGUUAGUUAAUAGAGUGUCACAUAAAUAAAAUACAUAGUCCGGGUAGGAAAAAUACUCCACGAUGCUUGAGUGCCCUUGACCAAAGCCUAGCGCCCUCGAUCGCCCCAUCCUUUCCUCCCUGGCUACUACCUCAGAUCACCGCCAAUCCGCAUGACUUCCAAGGACGACAGCGGCGAAGCUCCCUCCUUGAGCAACACCUUGGUACUUGUACGCCUCUUCCUACUGAGCGACGUCGUUGUGCUCUCCGUUGGUUCCUUGGUGGUUGCGUUUUUCUGUUGCCAUUUUUGUUGGCGAUGCUCCGCCCCUCCUUUGGACGGAGCAUUGCCAGUAUAUGGACUUUUUUUUAGAAUAACUGCAUAUUUUUUAACCAGCAAAUGUUACAAACAUAGCACAUACAUAACAUCGCUGAGAGAGCACGAGAGACCAAAGGUGUCCCAACACAAAUGCAAAAAGGUCUCAAAAAGGAGAAAAUACAAUCUGAACCCCCGGGGGCCUUAAUGCAUGAAGAACCAACACCAGUCGCUGACCGCCGCCAUCGACGACGAGACGAACGGCGAAGGAGGACGCCAGAAACCAUCAAACCCUGAGCCGAGGGCACACCAUCACUGAAAAGGGCUUUCUGAGUCGAAGAUGAGCCCGGUCGCAAACGGUGAGGCAUAGCCGUUGUGGCACGUCGACCGGGGAAAGUCCCCGUGCAAAUCCUCGGCUCCAGUUUCGGCACCUCCGUUGGACGAAGUCGAAGGAGAAUUACCAGAUCUACCGCCACAAACCACCACGAGAGUGUUGAGUCACCAAGUCUCUCGCCAACAGCCGCGGUCACCGCACGGGCCGGUGACCAACGCUGGCCCGAGCACUCCUAUACAAGACUCUGUCGGCUUCCCAUCGACACUGAAGAACGUGUCGAUGUGGCAGAGACGAAGCCGAGGGAACAAAACUCCCGAUGUCCCCUGCUUGACCAAAUCCGAGCACGCCAAGCCUGUCGCCGCACACGUCGGCCAGGCCAAACCUAACCUCACCGCCCAAGACGAGCGGCAGGAAUCUACGCCGAGCAGCGCCCGAGGAAACACCACCGAGACGGAGGCGGAACCGGAGGACAAAAGGCACGAGCUGGGCAGCCGUCGCCGCCUCGUCGACCCAGCCCCACCACCCAGAUAUCGCCAGCCACGCGAAACCUGCGAGCAGACCGAAGCUCCCAGCCUUCUCGCCCACCGCAACGCAUACCACCGCGUUGGGGAGAGAGCAGGGGCACCCUUAUUAGCCGCACUCGCCAUUCCCACCGGAGAUGCGAAAACGACCAGCCACCACCAAGCUACAAAGCCUACCUAGACUACACCUGUACAAGCCAUGCCCCCGGAUCCGACGACCCCAACCUGCACCGAAGAGCAUGAAGUCCCGGGGGAGAUGGCGUCGCCGGAUCCAAAGCCGGCAAAGGAGUCGCCUCUCACUAGUGGAAAACGGGCCUUUGGCCAGGACCCUUUAGUCCCGGCCUGCCUCUGGGCCGGGACUAAAGGCCCGGCCACGUCGCCCCAAUUCUCAAUGCCUCCCUCGAGGCUUUAGUCCCGGCCCGUAAGGAGCCUUUAGUCCCGGUUCAUGUUCCAAACCGGGACUAAAGGGCUACGCGGCGGGUAGUGGUGGUGGCAACCGUUCGUAUCCCCCUUUAGUCCCGGUUGGUGGCUCAACCCGGGACUAAAUCCCUAACCCGUGCCCUGCCGUAGUGGUGGUAACCGUUGGUAUACCUCUUUAGUCCCGGUUGGUGGCUCAACCCGGGACUAAAUCCCUAACACGUGGCCUGCCGUAGUGGUGGUAACCGUUGGUAUACCUCUUUAGUCCCGGUUGGUGGCUCACCCCGGGACUAAAUCCCUAACCCGUGCCCUGCCGUAGUGGUGGUAACCGUUGGUAUACCUCUUUAGUCCCGGUUGGUGGCUCAACCCGGGACUAAAGGCCCAAACGGUUUGCAUCCCGCGUCGUUUCGGGCGAUGAAAAGCACGAACCAAAGCAGAGUCGCCAUUUCUCUGUUUCUUCUUCUCUCUCGCUCUCGCUCUGUUCUUCUCCUCUCUUCUUCCAUCAUGCCAACUCGCUUUGGAGAGGUGCUCGCACAUGGCAAGACCAAGCUCGAUGUCGUGUACACGAACGAGAGCAGGGAGAUGCCGUAUUUUCUUGAACAGUUGAAGGAACGAUGGCUUGACGCCGCAAUGGAUCAUGAGAAGUUCUUGGGGCUUGAUCUGGAGUACACGGCCGAUCAACGCGGUGUUGCCGUCAUCCAACUAUGCUUCGCACACCAUGUCUUGAUCUUCCAAUGGGCGAGGUAAGUUUUGAGGCUUUCUUUGAUCCAAGGUAAUGACAUUGUAAGUUUAUUUGUUUCAAUCAUAGUUGGUUCCCUUCAAAUAGUUGUAGUGAAACAAUUUUGAUUAGUUGAAGGGGAACACAAUCUGAUUGGAAUAGUGUUCCAUAAUCUGAAAAAUCGUAUUAGAAUCAACUAGUGUUUAAUAUGUUCCAUUGGAAUCAUAGUUGGUUCGCUUCAAAUAGUUGUAGUGAAACAAUUUUGAUUAGUUGAAGGGAACACAAUCUGAUUGGAAUAGUGUUUCACAAUCUGAAAAAUCUGAUUGGUUCAAUAUGUUCCAUUGAAAUCAUAGUUGUAGUGAUACAAUUUUAUGCGGUGUUAUUUGAUCCAAGGUUAUGAAAAUUGCAUAUAGCUAGUGAUCUCUCUAGGUUCCAUUUGAUAGCAAUAUGAUAUGUCAUAGUCAUGAAAAUUGCAUAUAGCUAGUGAUCUCUCUAGGUUCCAUUGGAUAGCUAUAGUGAUCUCUCUAGGUUCCAUUGCAUAUGUUCUAUUUGAAUCCUAAAGAUAAUUUUCUCUUUAGUUGUAGUGAAACAUGUUUCCUUAUUGCAGCAGUAUGUAACAUUUUCCAUUUUAAUUUGUUUCUGUUGCAGUAGUGACAAGCAUUGUCCAGAACUCAUGGACUUCCUGCGCAGCGGCAUCACUUUUGCUACCGUUGACAUAACGAACGACAAGCUGAAGAUGAGGUACAGCUUCGGUAUUGAGAUACCAACUGGUUGCCUCAUUGAUCUCCAAACGGUAUUCAGGCUUCGACAUGUCAGGACUUCGAUGGCUCAUAUGGCAGUUGCCUUGAUCGACGAGGAAUAUGGUGAUAUGAAGACCAAUUUUCCCAAAGUCUCAGCACAAACUUUGGGAGAAGGCCCCACUUGAUCGUAUCAACAUUGAGUAUGCAACAAAAGAUGCAUACGUUUCAUACGAGUUGUACCGCAAGAUUCGAGUCGUCAACUAUGGCCAGCGUCACCUCGAAUAAGGUGGACAUUCUGAUUCGAGUCGUCAACUAUGAAAACUAAUUCCCGAACACCAAACGAGGCAUCACGUUAAUCUUCCGAACACCUAAACCCUAAAAUCCUAAAACCCAAAAAUAAUUUCAUUCAAAAAAAACCCAAAAAUAAGCAAAAUCUAAAACUCUUUAGUCCCGGUCCGUGUAACGAGCCGGGACUAAAGGGCCUGCCCCUGAGGCGCUACGAGGCGCCCACGUGGAGCAUCUUUAGUCCCGGCUUGUAACAGGGCCGGGACUAAAGGUUAGGCGUCCCGGUUGGUGAACCGGGACUAAAGUCCCUUACGGGCCGGGGCUAAAGGCCCCGUCUCCACUAGUGUCUGGCAGUAUAUGGACUUGUGGUAACCUUUGUUAGGACUUAGGUGCUCCAUCCCUGUUCCUCACCUCUCACCUGAUUUGGACGCCCACCGGUUUGGUCUGGCCUAGUAUCUUUUUCCAGUCAUUUCUCGGUUAGAUGCGGAAGAUUUGCCGCAUGAUCUAGCGAUUGCAUCUGACGUUUUUCUUGACUGGUGAUUAAAGUUGGUCGUUAAGGUCUUGUUGAACGUACGUGUGGACCAAAAUAUGUUUUUAUCUUUGUGACAAGUACAAUGACCGCUGUUGUAUUUAUCUCUCAUCUCAACCCUCAACUAAAUUCUAUGUGAAUUCCUAGUAUCUCUUGCAAUCCCUGGUAUCCAUCAAUUGGUUCUGUCGCGCUCCUAAGUUCUCCUUCCCUCUCCGAUCAUAUAUCUCUUUAGUCGAAUCAUGGCAAGGUCAUGUCAAGACCCAAAUGUUUUUUCAAAAAGAUAGUAUAAACACACACACUCACAUCCAUGAACGCACAUACGCACGUUCUAUUCCUAUAAGCACAUUUGAAAGGCUGAGCCGGCGGAUGUUAAGAUUGACAAAGUCACAACAAACGUCACAUCACUCUAUGGACAGAAACAUUGCCUCCCAUUGAGAGUACAUUUCGCGUUUAUCACACACCAAAGCAUCAACAUUUAAUUCCUUGUGUUAGGAAUUAAUUAAAUGUAUUAAUUAAUGGAAUAAUCCAUGCGUUGCCGGUUGCCUUGAUUUAGCAACCGUUCCUUGUAACCGACUCUGUACUCGGGGUAUAAAUACCCCGCAUCUUCAAUCAAUAAUAAUUGUUCCAUCAUUCUGUCACUUUCACUGUUUUACACGUUAUCAGCACUCGCUCUGCCGAGAGCGACAGAGAGCCACGAGAAAGGUCAGAAUGGCAGGAAGAGAGUUGUCUGCACUUGCUUUUGCUUUCGCACGCUUCCUGCAGAAAGAGAACACCCGCUUCCCUCGCACUCAGCGCCACCGCAUUGCACGUCGCCAUCAGGGUCUUGGUGCAAGGAAUGGCCCUCAUCGCCGUUCCUUCACCAGGAACCACCGCCAGAACCGGAGUGGCCCUCAUCGCCGCUUCUUCGCCGGGAACCACCGCCAGAACCACCGCCGUGGGUAUGCACGUCGAGGCAACCAACCACUUCGUGGGCGUGCACCAACGGUGCACCAGGCUGGAUCCUCGACUCCGGCCACCGCUCCACUACAACAGGCUGGUGUUGUAGAUAUGCCCUAGAGGCAAUAAUAAAUUAGUUAUUAUUAUAUUUCUUAGNNNNNNNNNNNNNNNNNNNNNNNNNNNNNNNNNNNNNNNNNNNNNNNNNNNNNNNNNNNNNNNNNNNNNNNNNNNNNNNNNNNNNNNNNNNNNNNNNNNNUGGAUAAUAAACUAUUAUCUUGAUACAGGAAUUAUAAUAAUAACUAUGCAUUUAUUAUUGCCUCUAGGGCAUAAUUCCAACAGUGCCUUCUAGUUGCACUGUCUGUACCCAGACAGUUUAUAACUCUUCCGCUGGCUUGUAUUUGUAUGACUGCUAUUAUGGGUCGAGAGACCUUAAUGUGUAAUAUUAUGUGUGUGGCUCUUNNNNNNNNNNNNNNNNNNNNNNNNNNNNNCUUCCGAGCCUCUUAAAUAAAGCUUGUAUGUUUAUGGUUAUGUUGUGAUGCCAUCGAUGUAUCUAUACAUAUCGGUAUGCCAUGCGUACGUGUGUCUUACUUGGUAUGUAUGGGGUUCGAAUACCUAGUCGUGAACUUUAGUAGCACUCCUUACAAGGAAAUGCCCCUUUGUGAUCCAACGAGCCUUGGUAGUUCGCUACUGCUCCGGACACAUUGGUUGACCGGCAUGUGUCCUUCUUAGCUGCUGUGUCUGUCCCCUUUGGGGAAAUUUCACGCGAUGUAAUGGAGUCCUUGUAGCUUGCUACGACUCGUCUACAUUCGCCGAUGACCGACACCUGCUUUGUUGGGUCAUGUAUGCCUGUCCUUGUGCGGUACUGCCACUUUGGUUUAUGACUAGACAUGUCGAUCCGGGUUCUUUGACAUUGGAUUGCUAGCGACACUAUCGCAUACGUGAGUCAAAAGACGCAAACGGUCCCGGCUAAGGUAAGGCUGCAGCCGUGGAGUUAACCGUGCGUGAGACCACAAAGGGAUGCGAUGUGUUACAGGCUAGAUUCCUAUGGCUUAGGAUCGAGGUCCCGACACUUUAAAAUAUCCAUUUGUACUUAACGGUCUUACGACCAUCAAGUAGUUCUUCCAAAGUCUACACUUUGUUUUCAUACAUGGAUCCUCUCUCGGAUUUCAUGGCCUCCAGCCAUUUAUCGGAAUUCGAGCCCACCAUCGCUUCUCCAUAGCUCGUAGGUUCAUUGUUGUUCAACAACAUGACCUCCAAGACAGGGUCACCGUACCACUCUGUAGCAGUACGCGACCUUGUCGACCUACGAGGUUUGUAGUAGCUUGAUCAGAAGCUUAAUGAUCACAAUCAUUAGUUUCCACUUCAAUUUGCGUAGGCGCCACAUGAACAAAUUCCUGCGCCCUGCUACACACUAGUUGAAGUGAUGGUUCAAUAACCUCAUCAAGUUCCACCAUCCUCCCACUCAGUUCUUUCGAGAGAAACUUUUCCUCGAGAAAGGACCCGUUUCUAGAAACAAACACUUUGCUUCCGGAUCUGAGAUAGGAGGUAUACCCAACUAUUUUGGGUGUCCUAUGAAGAUGCGUUUAUCCGCUCUGGGUUCGAGCUUAUCAUGCUGAAACUUUUCCACAUGAGCAUCGCAGCCCCAAACUUUUAAGAAACGACAGCUUAGGUUUCUCCAAACCAUAGUUCAUACGGUGUCAUCUCAACGGAAUUACGUGGUACCCUAUUUAAAGUGAAUGUGGUUGUCUCUAAUGCCUAACCCAAAACGAUAGUGGUAUUUCGAUAAGAGACAUCAUAGUAUGCACCAUAUCAAAUAGGGCGCGGCUAUGACAUUCAGACAAACCAUCACACUAUGGUGUUCUAGGUGGCAUGAACUGCAAAACAAUUUCCACAUUGUCUUAACCGUGUACCAAAACUCGCAGCUCAGAUAUUCAUCUCUAUGAUCAUAUCGUAGACAGUUUAUCCUCUUGUCACGAUGAUCUUCACUCUGGAAUAGCUUUGAACUUUUCAAUAUUUCAGACUUGUGAUUCAUCAAGUAAAUACUCAUGUAUCUACUCAAAUCAUCAGUGAAGUGAGAACAUAACGAUAUCCACUGCGUGCCUUAGCACUCAUUGGACUGCACAUAUCAAAAAUCUAUUGCAUCCAACAAGUUACUUUCUUGUUCCAUGUGGUAUGAUUUUGCAUGUCUCAAGUGAGUUAAAAUCAAGUGAUUCCAAACGAUCCAUCUGCAUGGAGUUUCUUCAUGCGUUUAUACCAACAGGUAUGGUUUCCAUGUCUCAAACGUUUCAAAAAUGAGUGAGUACAAAGAUCCAUAAGCAUGGAGUUUCUUCAUGCAUUUUACACCAACAUGACUCAAGCGGCAGUGCCACAAGUAAGUGGUUCUAUCAUUAUUACUUUGUAUCUUUUGGCACCACUAUUAUGAAUAUGUGUAACACUACGAUCGAGAUUCAAUAAAUCAUUGAAGGUAAUUAUUCAAGAAAAUAGAAUAACCAUUAUUCUCUUUAAAUGAAUAAUCGUAUUGCAAUAAACACGAUCCAAUCAUGUUCAUGCUCAAAGCAAACACCAAAUAACAAUUAUUUAGGUUUAACACCAAUCCCGAUGGUAGAGGGAGCGUGCGAUGUUUUGAUCACAUCAACCUUGGAAACACUUUCAACACGUAUCGUCACCUCGCCUUUAGCUAGUCUCCGUUUAUUUCGUAGCUUUUAUUUCGAGUUACCAAUCACUUAGCAACCGAACCGGUAUCUAAUACCCUCGUGCUACUAGGAGUACUAGUAAAGUACACAUCAAUAUCAUGUAUAUCAAAUAUACUUCUGUUGACUUCGCCAGCCUACUCAUCUACCAAGUAUAUAGGGUAGCUCCGCCUCAGUGACCGUUCACCUCAUAACAAAAGCACUUAAUCUCGGGUUUGGGUUCAAUCUUGGGUUUCUUCAUUAGAGCAGCAACUGGUUUGUCGUUUCAUGAAGUAUCUCUUCUAGCCCUUGCCCUUCUUGAAACUAGUGGUUUUACUAACCAUCAACAAUUGAUGCUCCUUCUUGAUUUCUACUUUCGUAGUGUCAAACAUUGUGAAUCGCUCAAGGAUCAUCAUAUAUAUCCUUGAUAUGUUAUAGUUCAUCACGAAGCUCUAGCAGCUUGGUGGCAGUGACUUUGGAGAACCAUCACUAUCUCAUCUGGAAGAUUAACUCCCACUUGAUUCAAGCGAUUGUUAUACUGAGCACAUGCUCAACGAUUGAGCUUUUCUCCUUUACUUUGUAGACAAAGAAUCUUGUUGGAGGUCUCAUACCUUUCAACAAGGGCACGAGCAUGAAAUCUCAAUUUCAUAUCUUAGAACAUCUUUUAUGUUCCGUGACGUUUCAAAAUGUCUUCGGCGUCUUGCAUCUAAGCCAUUAAGUAUUACGCACUGAACUAUCACGUAGUCAUGAAAAAUGUGUAUGUCAGAUGUUCGCAACAUCCACAGACGACGCUUGAGGUGCAGCACACCGAGUGGUGCAUUAAGGACAUAAGCCUUCUACGCAGCAAUGAGGACAAUCCUCAGUUUUACGUACUCAGUCCGCAAAGUUACUACUAUCAUCUUUCAACUAAAUUUUCUCUAGGAACAUAUAAAAAAACAGUAGAGCUAUAGCGCAAGCUACAUCAUAAUUCGCAAAGACCUUUUGACCAUGCUCAUGAUAAUUAGUUCAAUUAAUCAUAUUACUUAAGAACUCCCACUCAAAAAAUACAUCCCUCUAGUCAUUUCAGUGGUGCAUGAUCCAAAUCCACUAACCCAAGUCCGAUCAUCACGUGAGUUGCGUAUAGUUUCAGUGGUAAACAUCUCUAUGCUAAUCAUAUCAACUAUAUGAUUCAUGCUCGACCUUUCGGUCUCUUGUGUUCCGAGGCCAUGUCUGCACAUGCUAAGCUCGUCAAGUUUAACCCGAGUGUUCCGCGUGUGCAACUGUUUUGCACCCGUUGUAUGCGAACGUUGAGUCUAUCACACCCGAUCAUCACGUGGUGUCUCGAAACGACGAACUGUCGCAACGGUGCAUAGUCGGGGAGAACACAAUUUUAUCUUGAAAUUUUAGUGAAGGAUCACGUUAUAAUGCUACCAUCGUUCUAAGAAAGAUAAGGUGCAUAAAAGGAUUAACAGCACAUGCAAUUCAUAAGUGACAUGAUAUGGCCAUGAUCUUGUGCUUCUUGAUCUCCAUCACCAAAGCACCGACAUGAUCUUCAUCGUCACCGGCACCACACCAUGAUCUCCACCAUCGUGCCGCCAUCGAGGUUGUCGUGCUAUAUACGCUAUCACUACUAAAGCUACAACCUAGCGAUAUAGUAAACGCAUAUGCAAACACAAACGUUAGUUUAAAGACAACCUUAUGGAUCCUGCCAGUUGCCGUAGCAUCGACGUGCAAGUCGAUAUUUAACUAUUACAAAAUGAUCAUCUCAUACAUCCAAUAUAUCACAUCAUGUCUUUGGCCAUAUCACAUCACAUGCAUACCCUGCAAAAACAAGUUAGACAUCCUCUAAUUUGUUGUUGCAUGUUUUACGUGGCUCCUAUGGGUAUCUAGUAUGAUCGCAUCUUACUUACGCAUAGCCACAACGGUAAUAUGCAAAUUGCUAUUUAACCUUUCUCCAAGGACCGCCUCGGUCAAAUCCGAUUCAACUAAAGUUGAAGAAACAGACACCCGCCAGUCAUCUUUAUGCAACAAGUUGCAUGUUAGUCGAUGAAACCGGUCUCUUGUAAGCGUACGAUUAAGGUUGGUUUGGGCCGCUUCAAUCCAACAAUACCGCCGAAUCGAGAAAAUACUAAGGAGGGCAGCAAAUUGAACAUCAAUGCCCACAAAAACUUGUUUGUUCUACUCGAGAUUACAUCUACGCAUGAACCUAGCUCAUGAUGCCACUAUUGGGGAACGUUUCAUGGGAAACUAAAAAAUUCCUACACACACGAAGACCUAUCAUGGUGAUGAUCAUCUACGAGAGGGAGAUCGGGUCCACAUACCCUUGUAGAUCGCUAAGUGGAAAUGUUAAGAAACGUGUAUGAUGUAGUGGUAUGUCUUCACGAUCCGUCCCACGAACCGUCUCACGAUCCGUCCCGAUCAAGUGUUGAACGGACGGCACCUCCGCGUUCCGCACACGUACAGCUCGAUGACGAUCUCCGCCUUCUUGAUCCAGCAAGAGGGGCGGAGAGGUAGAUGAGUUCUCCAGCAUGGCGAUGUGGUGGUGGUGUUGGUGGUGCUAUUCCAGCAGGGCUUCGCCUAAGCACCGCUGAAACUAGAGGAGAAACAGAUCUAGAGAGAGAGGGCAGCACGUGGCUGUUUCUGUUGUCCAAAAACCCUCAAAACCCUUAGUAUAUAUAGGAGGAGAGGAGGGAGAGGGUUGCGCCCUAGAGCAACCUUCUCUUCCCUUGCGCAAGGGAGAGGAGGAGGAGUCCUACUCCAAUCCUAUUUGGAGUAGGAUUCCUCCUUCCCACUUGGAAACUCUUUCCACCUUGUGUUUUUCCUUCUCAAACCUUAUGGGUCUUAGUGGGAACUUAUUCGAGCCCACUAGGGGAUGGUUUAUCUCUUGCCACAGCCCAUAAGGCCUCUUGGGGCGUGACACCCCUCCCGAUGGUCCCCGGCACACCUCCCGGCACUCCCGGUACACUACCGAUGAGCCCGAAACUUUUCCCGUGACCAAAACAGGACUCCCUAUAUAUCAAUCUUCAUUUCCGGACCAUUCUGGAAACCUUCGUGAUGUACGGGAUCUCAUCCGGCACUCUGAACAACCUUCGGUCACCAACACAUAUAACUUAACUAUACCGAAACAUCACCGAACUUUAAGUGUGUAGACCCUGCGGGUUCGAGAACUAUGUAGACAUGACCUGAGACACUCUUCGGUCAAUAACCAACGGCGGGACCUCGAUGUUCAUAUUGGCUCCUACAUAUUCUACGAAUAUCUCUAUCGGUUGAACCUCUAUGUCAAGGAUUAAUAUAAUCCCGUAUACUAUUCCCUUUGUCCUUCGGUAUGUUACUUGCCCGAGAUUCGAUCGUUGGUAUCUCCAUACCGAGUUCAAUCUCGUUACCGGCAAGUCUCUUUACUCGUUCCAUAAUACAAGAUCUCGUGACUAACUCCUUAGUCAUAUUGCUUGCAAGGCUUGUUGUGAUGUUGUAUUACCGAGUGGGCCCCCUAGAUACCACUCCGUCACAUGGAGUGACAAAUCACAGUCUUGAUCCAUGCCAACCUAAUAGACACCUUUGGAGAUACGUGUAGAGCACCUUUAUGGUCACCCAGUUAUGUUGUGACGUUUGAUACACACAAGGCAUUCCUCCGGUGUCCGGGAGUUGUGAUACGUCCAUUUUGCAUCAUGUUUUCAUGUUGAUAUUUAUUGCUUCUUGGGAUGUUAUAUUACUUGUGGUGCCAUAUUUAUGCCUUUUCGCUCUUAUUUUGCAAGGAUUAUUUGAAGAGGGAGAAUUCAGGCAGCUGGAAUUCUGGACUAGAAAAGGAGCAAAUCCUAGUCCACUAUUCUGCACAUCUCCAAAUGCCCUGAAAAUUUUCGUGGAUUUUUUCUAGAAUAUAUUAAAAAUACUGGGCGAAAGAACUACCAGAGGGGGCCACCAGGGCCCCACAAGCUUGCCCACCGCCGCCGCCCCCCUGGUGGCGCACGGCAGGCUUGUGGGCAGCCCACUGGCCCACUAGCCCCCCUCUUUUGCUAUAUGAUGCGUCCUGACCUGGAGAAAAUCAUACAGGAGCUUUUUCGUGGUUUCCCCGCCGCCACAGGGCGGAACUUGAGUAGAUCCAAUCUAGAGCUCCGGCAGGACGAUCUUGUCGGGGAAAUUUCCCUCCCGGAGGGGGGAAUCAUCACCAUCUUCAUCACCAACACUCCUCUCAGCGGAGGGGAGGCAUCUUCAUCAACAUCUUCAUCGGCACCAUCUCUUCUCCAAUCCCUAGUUCAUCUCUUGUAACCAAUCUUCGUCUCGCAACUCAGAUUAGUACUUGUAAGGUUGCUAGUAGUGUUGAUUACUCUUUGUAGUUGAUGCUUGUUGGAUUACUUGGUGGAAGAGUUUAUGUUCAGAUCCUUGAUGCUAUUCAUUACACCUCUGGUCAUGAUUAUGAUUAUAUCUUGUGAGUAGUUACUUUUGUUCCUAAGGACAUGGAAUAAGUCAUGCUGAUAAUAGUCAUGUGAAUUUGAUAUUCGUUCAGUAUUUUGAUAUGAUGUAUGUUGUUUUUCCUCUAGUGGUGUUAUGUGAACGUGGACUACAUAACACUUCACCAUAUUUGAGCCUAGAGGAAGGCAUUGUGAAGUAGUAAGUAGAUGAUGGGUUGCUGGAGUGACAGAAGCUUAAACCCCAGUUUAUGCGUUGCUUCGUGAGGGGAUGAUUUGGAUCCACUAGUUUAAUGCUAUGGUUAGACUUUGUCUUAAUUCUUCUUUUGUAGUUGCGGAUGCUUGCUAGAGAGGUUAAUCAUAAGUGGGAUGCUUGUCCAAGUAAGGUCAGUACCCAAGCGCCGGUCCACCCACAUAUCAAACUAUCAAAGUAACGAACGCGAAUCAUAUGAACAUGAUGAAACUAGCAUGACAGAAAUUCUCAUGUGUCCUCGGGAGCAUUUUUCCUCCUAUAUGACUUUGUUCAGGCUUGUCCCUUGCUACAAAAGGGAUUGGGCCACUUGCUGCACCGUUGCUACUACUUGUUAUUUGUUACUCUUUGCUUGCUACGUUUCACCUCGCUACACAAUCACUUGUUACCGCUACUUUCAGUGCUUGCAGUUAUUACCUUGCUGAAAUUCGUUUAUCACAGCCUUCUGCUCCUCGUUGGGUUCGACAAUCUUACUUAUAGAAAGGACUAUGAUUGAUCCCCUAUACUUGUGUUGGAAAUAUGCCCUAGAGGCAAUAAUAAAUUAGUUAUUAUUAUAUUUCUUUGUUCAUGAUAAUCGUUUCUUAUCCAUGCUAUAAUUGUAUUGAUUGGAAACACAGUGCAUGUGUGGAUACACAGACAAAACACAGUCCCUAGUAAGCCUCUAGUUGACUAGCUCGUUGAUCAAAGAUGGUCAAGGUUUCCUGACCAUAGGCAAGUGUUGUCACUUGAUAACGGGAUCACAUCAUUAGGAGAAUCAUGUGAUGGACUAGACCCAAACUAAUAAGACGUAGGAUGUUGAUCGUGUCAUUUUGUUGCUAUUGUUUUCUGCGUCUCAAGUAUUUGUUCCUAUGACCAUGAGAUCAUAUAACUCACUGACACCGGAGGAAUGCUUUGUGUGUAUCAAACGUUGCAACGUAACUGGGUGACUAUAAAGAUGCUCUAUAGGUAUCUCCGAAGGUGUUCGUUGAGAUAGUAUGGAUCGAGACUGGGAUUUGUCACUCCGUGUGACGGAGAGGUAUCUCGGGGCCCACUCGGUAAUACAACAUCACNNNNNNNNNNNNNNNNNNNNNNNNNNNNNNNNNNNNNNNNNNNNNNNNNNNNNNNNNNNNNNNNNNNNNNNNNNNNNNNNNNNNNNNNNNNNNNNNNNNNNNNNNNNNNNNNNNNGGUAAACGAGAUUGAAAUAGGUAUGCGGAUACUGACGAUCGAAUCUCGGGCAAGUAACAUACCGAAGUACAAAGGGAAUGACAUACGGGAUUAUAUGAAUCCUUGGCACCGAGGUUCAAACGAUAAGAUCUUCGUAGAAUAUGUAGGAUCCAAUAUGGGCAUCCAAGUCCCGCUAUUGGAUAUUGACCGAGGAGUCACUCGGGUCAUGUCUACAUAGUUCUCGAACCCGCAGGGUCUGUACACUUAAGGUUCGACGUUGUUUUAUGCGUAUUUGAGUUAUAUGGUUGGUUACCGAAUGUUGUUCGGAGUCCCGGAUGAGAUCACGGACAUCACGAGGGUUUCCGGAAUGGUCCGGAAACAAAGAUUGAUAUAUAGGAUGACCUCAUUUGAUUACCGGAAGGUUUUCGGAGUUACCGGGAAUAUACCGGGAAUGACGAAUGGGUUCCUCGGAAUGUACCAGGAAUGACGAAUGGGUUCCGGGUGUUCACCGGGGGGGCAACCCACCCCGGGGAAGCCCAUAGGCCUUGGGGGUGGCGCACCAGCCCUUAGUGGGCUGGUGGGACAGCCCAAUAAGGCCCUAUGCGCCAUAGGAAGAAAAUCAAAGAGAAAAAGGAAAAAAGAAAAGGGGAGGUGAGAAAAAGGGGAAGGACUCCACCUUCCAAACCUAGUUGGAUUCGGUUUGGAAGGGGAGGACUCCCCCCCUUGGCUCGACCGACCCCCAAGGCAAGGCCCCCCUCUCCCACCUAUAUAUACGGAGGUUUUAGGGUUGAUUUGAGACAACUUUGCCACGGCAGCCCGACCACAUACCACCAUGGUUUUACCUCUAGAUCGCGUUUCUGCGGAGCUCGGGUGGAGCCCUGCUGAGAUUAGAUCACCACCAAACUCCGGAGCGCCGUCAUGCUGCCCGAGAACUCAUCUACCUCUCCGUCUCUCUUGCUGGAUCAAGAAGGCCGAGAUCAUCGUCGAGCUGUACGUGUGCUGAACGCGGAGGUGCCGUCCGUUCGGCACUAGAUCGUGGGACGGAUCGCGGGACGGUUUGCGGGGCGGAUCGAGGGACGUGAGGACGUUCCACUACAUCAACCGCGUUUCUUAACGCUUCUGCUGUGCGAUCUACAAGGGUACAUAGAUCAAAUAUCCCCUCUCGUAGAUGGACAUCACCAUGAUAGGUCUUCGUGCGCGUAGGAAAAUUUUUGUUUCCCAUGCGACGUUCCCCAACAACUUGUGGGUCAUCAAGACUCUUUUCUGGCGCCGUUGCCGGGGAGUGAAGCGCCUUUGGUAAGUGGAAAUUGGUAAGGAAACAAUUUUAUACUGUGCUGAAAUUUAUUGUCACUUGUCACUAUGGAAACUCUUCCUUUGAGGAGUUUGUUCGGGGUAUCUUCACCAUGAACGGAAGCACGAGGAUUUGCUCCUCAACCUGAGGUACCUACUGAAAAUAUCUUUUAUAAAAUUCCUUUGGGUAUGCUUGAGAAAUUGCUGGCUAAUCCUUUUACAGGAGAUGGAUCUUCACAUCCAGACUUUCAUCUAAUCUAUGUAGAUGAAGUUUGUGGUUUAUUUAAGCUUGCAGGUUUGCCCGAGGAUGAGGUAAAGAAGAAACUCUUUCCUUUAUCUUUGAAGGAUAAGGCAUUGACAUGGUAUAGGCUAUGUGAUGAUACUGGAUCAUGCAGCUACAAUCGGUUGAAAUUGGAAUUUCAUCAAAAGUUCUAUCCCAUGCAUUUAGUAUAUCAUGAUCGGAACUUUAUUUAUAACUUUUGGCCUCGUGAUAGGGAAAGCAUAGCUCAAGCUUGGGGGAGGCUUAAAUCAAUGCUAUAUUCAUGCCCCAAUCAUGAGCUCUCGAGAGAAAUCAACACUCAAAACAUUUAUGCUCGGAUUUCUCAUGAAGAUCGUACCAUGCUUGAUACUUCUUGUGCCGGUUCUUUUAUGAAGAAGAAUAUUGAUCACAAGUGGAAUUUAUUGGAGAGAAUCAAACGCAACUCUGGAGAUUGGGAGCUGGAGGAAGGUAAGGACUCAGGUAUGAAUUUCUAUUUUGAUUGCGUUAAAUCUUUUGUUGAGACAAACACUUCUAGAGAGCGCUAAGUAUGGACUUGACUCUGAGAUAGUAGCUUCUCUUUGUAAAUCUUUUGCUGCUCAUGUUGAUCUUCCCAAAGAGAAGUGGUUUAAAUAUCAUCCUCCUGUAGAAAGCAACAUAGCCAAAACCAAUCUAGUUGAGGAGAAAAUCAUAGCUUUUAGUGAUCCUGUUGUUCCUUGUGCUUACACUGAGAAACCACCAUACCCUGCUAGGAUGAAGGAUUAUUCUAAAGCUCCAACUGUGAUACGUAGGGGUUACAUUAGACCACUUGCACCCCCUGAAGAGAUUAGAGUUGAACCUAGUGUUGCUAUUAUCAAAGAUCUCUUAGCCAAAGAGAUAGAUGGGCAUGUUAUCAAAUUCUGUGAGGACUCCGCUAGAAUUGCUAAACCUCACGCGAAAGACAAGCACGGACCUGUAGUUGGCCUGCCCGUUGUUUCUGUUAAGAUAGGAGAUCACUGUUACCAUGGUUUAUGUGAUAUGGGAGCUAGUGUUAGUGCAAUACCCCGUUCUCUAUAUGAUGAAAUCAAAGAUGAGAUUGCACCAGCUGAGAUAGAACCCAUUGAUGUCACUAUCACGCUAGCUAAUAGAGACACUAUAUGCCCUUUGGGAAUUGUGAGAGAUGUAGAAGUCCUGUGUGGUAAGACGAAGUAUCCUACUGAUUUCCUCGUCCUUGGUACUACACAAGAUAGCUUUUGUCCCAUCAUAUUCGGUAGACCCUUUCUCAACACUAUCAAUGCUCACAUUGAUUGCAUUAAGCAGACUGUCAUAGUAAGUUUCGAGGGUGUGUCUCAUGAAUUUAACUUCUCCAAGUUUGGAAGACAACCCCAUGAAAGAGAUUCAUCUGGUAGGGAUGAAAUCAUUGCUCUUUCCUCUAUUGCCAUACCUCCUACGAAUCCUUUAGAGCAAUAUCUGCUUGAGCAUGAAAAUGAUAUGCAUACGGAGGAGAGAGAUGAGAUAGAUAGAAUUGUCUUAGAACAAUGUCCUAUUCUCAAGAAUAAUCUGCAUGUUGAACUGCUUGGGGAUCCUCCCCCACCAAAGGGUGAUCCUGUGUUCGAGCUUAAACAGUUGCCUGAUACUCUUAAGUAUGCCUAUCUUGAUGAGAAGGAGAUAUAUCCUGUCAUUAUUAGUGCUCUCCUCUCAGAGCGUGAAGAGAAGAAGUUACUAAAAACUCUGAGGAAGCACCGCGCUGCUAUUGGAUAUACUCUUGAUGAUCUUAAGGGUAUUAGUCCUACUCUAUGUCAGCACAAGAUUAAAACCGAUCCUGACUUUAAACCAGUUGCUGAUCAUCAAAGGAGAUUAAAUCCUAAGAUGAAAGAGGUCGUUAGAAAAGAAAUAUUAAAGCUUCUGGAAGCAGGAAUCAUUUAUCCUAUUGCUCAUAGUGAUUGGGUAAGUCCAGUACAUUGCGUACCUAAGAAGGGAGGUAUCACCGUCGUUCCUAAUGAUAAGGAUGAACUAAUCCCACAAAGGAUUAUUACCGGCUAUAGAAUGGUGAUAGACUUCCGGAAACUGAACAAGGCAACCAGGAAAGAUCAUUAUCCUUUGCCGUUCAUCGACCAAAUGCUAGAAAGGCUAUCAAAGCACACACACUUUUGCUUUCUAGACGGUUAUUCAGGUUUCUCGCAAAUACCUGUUGCAUAAUUUGAUCAAGAGAAAACCACCUUCACCUGCCCUUUCGAUACCUUUGCCUAUAGAUGUAUGCCUUUUGGCUUAUGUAAUGCACCUGCCACCUUUCAAAGAUGUAUGAUGGCUAUAUUCUCUGACUUUUGUGAAAAGAUUGUCGAGGUUUUCAUGGAUGACUUCUCCAUUUACGGGUCUUCCUUUGAUGAUUGCCUCAGCAACCUUGAUCGAAUCUUACAGAGAUGCGAAUAAACCAACCUCGUCUUGAAUUGGGAGAAGUGCCACUUUAUGGUUAAUGAAGGUAUCGUCUUAGGACACAAAAUCUCUGAAAGAGGCAUUGAAGUUGAUAAGGCUAAGGUUGAUGCAAUUGAGAAAAUGCCUUGCCCCACAGAUAUCAGAGGUAUACGAAGUUUCCUAGGUCAUGCUGAUUUCUAUAGAAGGUUCAUUAAAGACUUCUCUAAGAUUUCUAGGCCUCUUACCAACCUCUUGCAGAAGGAUGUUCCUUUUGUUUUUGAUGAGGAUUGUGAGGAAGCCUUCGAAAUACUUAAGAAGGCUUUGAUAACCGCACCUAUUGUUCAACCACCUGACUGGAACUUUCCCUUUGAAAUCAUGUGUGACGCUAGUGAUUAUGCUGUUGGUGUUGUUCUAGGACAAAGAGUUGACAAGAAGUUGAAUGUCAUUCACUACGCUAGUAAAACUCUAGACAGUGCCCAAAGGAACUAUGCCACUACGGAGAAGGAAUUUUUAGCACUCGUGUUUGCAUGUGAAAAAAUCAGAUCUAACAUAGUUGACUCCAAGGUCACUAUUCACUCUGAUCAUGCUCCUAUUAAGUACCUUAUGGAGAAGAAGGACGCUAAGCCUAGGCUUAUCAGAUGGGUUCUCCUGCUACAGGAAUUUGAUUUGCACGUCAUUGACCGAAAGGGUGCUGAUAACCCUGUAGCAGAUAACUUGUCUAGGCUAGAGAAUGUCCUUGAUGACCCACUACCAAUUGAUGACAGCUUUCCUGAUGACCAAUUAAAUGUCAUCCGCACUUCACUUAGUGCACCAUGGUAUGCCGAUUAUGCAAACUAUAUCGUAGCCAAAUACAUACCACCCAGUUUCACCUAUCAACAAAAGAAGAAAUUCUUCUUUGAUUUGAGACACUACUUUUGGGAUGAUCCUCACCUUUAUAAGGAAGGAGUAGAUGGUGUUAUUAGACGUUGUGUGCCUGAACAUGAACAGGGACAGAUCCUGCAGAAGUGUCAUUCCGAAGCCUACGGAGGACACCACGCUGGAGAUAGAACUGCCCAUGAGGUAUUGCAAUCAGGUUUCUAUUGGCCCACUCUCUUCAAGGAUGCUCGUAAGUUUGUCUUGUCUUGUGACAAAUGCCCAAGGAUAGGGAACAUCAGUAAGCGUCACAAGAUGCCUAUGAACUAUUCACUUGUCAUUGAACCAUUUGAUGUCUGGGGCUUUGAUUAUAUGGGACCCUUCCCGAGUUCCAGUGGGUACACUCACAUCUUAGUUGUUGUGGAUUACGUUACUAAGUGGGUAGAAGCUAUCCCCACUAAAAAUGCUGAUCACCACAACUCUAUUAAGAUGCUUAAAGAAGUUAUAUUCCCAAGAUUUGGAGUCCCUAGAUACUUGAUGACUGAUGGCGGUUCACACUUCAUUCAUGGUGUUUUCCGCAAGAUGCUAGCUAAGUAUGAUGUCAACCAUAGAGUUGCAUCUCCUUAUCAUCCUCAGUCUAGUGGUCAAUUGGAGUUGAGUAAUAGGGAGAUCAAGUUGAUCUUACAAAAGACCGUCAAUAGAUCCCGAAAGAACUGGUCUAGCAAACUUGACGAUGCACUAUGGGCUUAUAGGACUGCUUAUAAAAAUCCCAUGGGCAUGUCACCGUAUAAAAUGGUUUACGGUAAGGCCUGUCAUUUACCUCUUGAGUUGGAACACAAAGCUUAUUGGGCAAUCAAAGAGCUCAACUUUGAUUUCAAACUUGCCAGUGAGAAGCGGUUGUUUGAUAUCAGCUUGUUGGAUGAAUGGAGAGCCCAGGCAUAUGAGAAUACCACGUCGUCAAGGAAAAGGUUAAGAGAUGGCACGACAAACGAAUACAGAAACGAGAGUUCAAUGUAGGUGAUUAUGUCUUGCUAUACAAUUCUCGUUUGAGAUUCUUUGGAGGCAAGCUUCUCUCUAAAUGGGAAGGUCCCUACGUUGUCGAGGAAGUAUAUCGUUCCGGUGCCAUCAAAAUCAAUAAUACAAGGAAAUUUUCCUAGAGUGGUAAAUGGGCAAAGAAUCAAGCAUUACAUCUCUGGUACUCCCAUAAAUGUUGAGACCAAUAUCAUCAAUGUCAUAACUCCACAGGAGUACAUAAGGGAUGUUUAUCAGCCUGUUUCAGACCUUGAAAACGAAGAUGUAUCUGUUUCGGCAAGAAAUUGGACUCCGAUACUUUUCCAAUAGGAAAUUUCCUCAGUUUUGGAAUUUUUGGAAAAUUAGAAAAAUAAAAAAGCAGUCCGGAGAGCAAACGAGGAAGCCACAAGGGCCCACUCCGCCACCACCCCCUGGUGGCGGUGGGCAAGCUUGUGGGCACCUUGUGUGCCUCCCGGACUCCGUUUUCUUGCAGAGGACUCCUUCUGGCCCAGAAAAAAUCAAUAUAUAGUUGCCCGAAGGUUUUGAUCUUCAUAUCGCGUAGUUUUCCUCUGUUUUCGUUUCGAGCUUGUUUCUGCCGCAGAUCUAGAUCAUCAUGACUUCCCCAAACGCUCCUAAGGACAAGAUCUUGGAGAAGGUCAUCAAUCCCUACCUCACGGAAGUGCUAAAACACCAUCAAUCUAUCAAGAUGAGCGAGGGGAUGUUGCACAUCCGUGAUGUUGAGGGGCCUAAGAAGACCGGAAGCAUGGAGACGAGGCUCGAAGUAGUGGAGCAACAAGUCUUCAUGUGCCAAGGGAUGGUUGAGCGUGGACUCAACGCCAACCACACGAUGAUCACGGAGUUCACUAGCAAUCACAAGAUGGAUGUCAUUGAUAUCGGGAAACACCUCUCCAGACUUUACGAUAGGGUUGACCAACUUCAGGGCCAAAUCUAUGACCUGCAGAAUCAAAACUGUGAGUAUGGGUAUAGAUUUAAAUCAAUAAGGUUGGCUGCAGAUUUGAGGAUUUCGGCUACUCGUUCAUCCUGCCAUGAUGGAGCACCUAUGCCUUGGAAGACGGAGGAUCAGACUACUCCAACAACACCACCAUCAUCACCAAAGGAAGACAACUAAGCAUUGGUAUGGGCAAUCCCCUUGGCUUCUGCCGAGCUUGGGGGAGUUGCCCUGGUAUCAUAUCACCUUUAUAUCUUUUGCUUUUACCUUUGUUUUAGUUCUUUCCCUUUCAGUUUUUAUUUCUUCUUUUAGAGGAAUAAGUCUUUAGUUUUUAGUUUGAGUCUUUUGCUUUUGGUCUCUCCCCCGAUGUAUUCGAGCUUACGAGCUAUAUAAUAAAGAGUGUCUUAGUCAAAGGGCUUUGCUUUGUGCCAUGAUCAAAAGUAUGAAAAGAACGAUAGCAUGAAAGAUCAUGAGACGAUCUUAUGGAAAGUGAUAACUUCACUUAUGACACGUAUGAUGAUUGAAACUUGUCGAGAAUAAAUCAACACAUACCUCAGUCAUUGUUGCAAUUAAUAAGAAGUAAUAAGGAAAGAGAGGUUCACAUAUAAAUAUAUCAUCUUAGACACUUUCUACAAUUGUGAGCACUCACCAAACUAUUACAUGCCUAGGAGUAGAUGUUGGACAAGGAAGACAACAUAAUGAAUUGUGUUUGCUUGGUUCCAAACAAUGUUAUAUGAUUAGAGAUCCCUUAGCAUGUGACGAUUGCUUCCACCUCAUAUUAGCCAAAACUUCCGCACCAAGUAGAGAUACUACUUGUGCAUCCAUAAACCUUCAACCCAGUUUUGCCAUGAGAGUCCACCAUACCUACCUAUGGAUUGAAUAAGAUCCUUCAAGUAAGUUGUCAUCGGUGCAAGCAAUAAAAAUUGCUCUCUAAUAUGUAUGAUCUAUUAGUGUGUGGAAAAUAAGCUUUGUACGAACCUGUGAUGAGGAAGACAUAAAAGCGACAGACUGCAUAAUAAAGUUCUUUGUCACAGGAGGCAAUAUAAAGUGACGUUCCUCCGCACUAAGAGGACACGCAUUCAAACCUCAAAAGUGCAUGACAACCUCUGCUUCCCUCUGCGAAGGGCCUAUCUUGUACCUUUACUUUUACCCUUGUAAGAGUCAUGGUGAUCAUCACCAAUUCCCUUUUUGCCUUCGUCUUGGCUACCGUCACAUGCUUGGAAAAGAUCUAUAUUCAUAUAUCAACUUGGAGUUGAGUACUCAUGCUUUAUUGUUGUUGACUUUACCCUUGAGGUAAACCGUUGGGAGGAAAAACUAUAAGCCCCCAUCUUCCUCUGUGUCGAGCUGAAGCUUUGACACCAUGAGUACCACGUGAGCUAUAAAAAUUGUGGAAAACAAAAGAGAUGAUUGAGUAUGUGGGUUUGCCUUACAAGCUCUUAUUUGACUCUUUCUGAUGUUGUGAUAAAUUGCAAUUGCUUCAAUGAUUAUGGACUAUUGUUGGUUACUUCUCGGUAAGGUUUUUGCUUCAUGCUUUGCUUUGUGAAGGAAUUGUUACUUUCCCAUAAGAAUCUUUAUAUAUAUUGUUGUUCUAUGUGUGAUCAUGAUGCCCUCAUGUCUGUAUUAUGUUUUAUCGACACCUUCGUCCCUCAACAUGUGGACGUGUUUAUGGAACUUGGUUUUCGCUUGAGGACAAGCGAGGUCUAAGCUUGGGGGAGUUGAUACGUCCAUUUUGCAUCAUGUUUUCAUGUUGAUAUUUAUUGCUUCUUGGGAUGUUAUAUUACUUGUGGUGCCAUAUUUAUGCCUUUUCGCUCUUAUUUUGCAAGGAUUAUUUGAAGAGGGAGAAUUCAGGCAGCUGGAAUUCUGGACUAGAAAAGGAGCAAAUCCUAGUCCACUAUUCUGCACAUCUCCAAAUGCCCUGAAAAUUUACGUGGAUUUUUUCUGGAAUAUAUUAAAAAUACUGGGCGAAAGAACUACUGGAGGGGGGCCACCAGGGCCCCACAAGCUUGCCCACCACCACCACCCCCUGGUGGCGCACGGUAGGCUUGUGGGCAGCCCACUAGCCCACUAGCCCCCCUCUUUUGCUAUAUGAUGCGUCCUGACCUGGAAAAAAUCAUACAGGAGCUUUUUCGUGGUUUCGCCGCCACCACGGGGCGGAACUUGAGCAGAUCCAAUCUAGAGCUCUGGCAGGACAAUCCUGCCGGGGAAAUUUCCCUCCCGGAGGGGGGAAUCGUCGCCAUCUUCAUCACCAACACUCCUCUCGUCGGAGGGGAGGCAUCUUCAUCAACAUCUUCAUCAGCACCAUCUCUUCUCCAAUCCCUAGUUCAUCUCUUGUAACCAAUCUUCAUCUCGCAACUCAAAUUGGUACUUGUAAGGUUGCUAGUAGUGUUGAUUACUCUUUGUACUUGAUGCUUGUUGGAUUACUUGGUGGAAGAUUUUAUGUUCAGAUCCUUGAUGCUAUUCAUUACACCUCUGGUCAUGAUUAUGAUUAUGUCUUGUGAGUAGUUACUUUUGUUCCUGAGGACAUGGAAUAAGUCAUGCUGAUAAUAGUCAUGUGAAUUUGAUAUUCGUUCGGUAUUUUGAUAUGAUGUAUGUUGUUUUUCCUCUAGUGGUGUUAUGUGAAUGUCAACUACAUAACACUUCACCAUAUUUGGGUCUAGAGGAAGGCAUUGGAAAGUAGUAAGUAGAUGAUGGGUUGCUGGAGUGACAGAAGCUUGAACCCCAGUUUAUGCGCUACUUCGUGAGGGGUUGAUUUGGAUCCACUAGUUUAAUGCUAUGGUUAGACUUUGUCUUAAUUCUUCUUUUGUAGUUGCGGAUGCUUGCGAGAUAGGUUAAUCAUAAGUGGGAUGCUUGUCCAAGUAAGGGCAGUACCCAAGUGCCGGUCCACCCACAUAUCAAACUAUCAAAGUAACGAAUGCGAAUCAUAUGAACAUGAUGAAACUAGUAUGACAGAAAUUCCCGUGUGUCCUCGGGAGCGUUUUCCUCCUAUAAGACUUUGUUCAGGCUUGUCCCUUGCUACAAAAGGGAUUGGGCCACUUGCUGCACCGUUGCUACUACUUGUUACUUGUUACUCUUUGCUUGCUACGUUUCACCUCGCUACACAAUCACUUGUUACCGCUACUUUCAGUGCUUGCAGUUAUUACCUUGCUGAAAUCCGUUUAUCAGAGCCUUUUGCUCCUCGUUGGGUUCGACACUCUUACUUAUCGAAAUGACUACGAUUGAUCCCCUAUACUUGUGGGUCAUCAAGUUGCGUGAUCACAUGGUCAUAGGAACAGAAACAUUGACAUGCAGAAAAAUAGUAGCAAUAAACUGACACGAUCAUAUGCUACAUUUAUAGUUCGGUUCUUGUCCAUCACAUCAUUCUCCCAAUGAUGUGAUCCCGUCAUCAAGUGACAACACUUGCCUAUGGCCAGGAAACCUUGACCAUCUUUGAUCAACGAGCUAGUCAACUAGAGGCUCACUAGGGACAGUGGGUUGUCUAUGUAUCCACACAUGUAUUUGAGUUUCCAAUCAAUACAAUUCUAGCAUGGAUAAAUAAAUGAUUAUUACGAACAAGGAAAUAUAAUAAUAACCAAUUUAUUAUUGCCUCUAGGGCAUAUUUCCAACAAUUUCUAUGUAAAAGGUGCGGAUAGUACCUCAUUCUCGUCUAUCCCAAGCUGAGGUAUGUCACCGACCCUAUGCUCAUCCAUGCAUACAAAAUUAUCCACUGGAGCCCUGAAUAAUUUUUUAUAGUAUUCAAAGAUAUAUUGUUUGAGAUUCUCAUGUCCCACAAUUGUACCCUCAUCUUGUUCUAGCUGGAUAAUUUUUUUAUUCCUAUGCUUUCCAUUAGCUAUUAGAUGGAAAUGUUGUGUGUUGUCAUCUCCUUGUACCACUUGGAGGACUUUCGCUCUUAGUGCCCACUUCAACUCCUCCUCUCUGAGUAGUUGUUUGAGCUUUAGUUCAGCCUCCAUUUUUCAAUGACCUCUCAUUGUCACCUAAUAACGUUUGUUCGGCUUUUAUGUCUAGUGUGUUUAUAAGUUUAUAAGUUCGACAAGCCUUUGUUUCUUUUUCUUAUAAAUUACACUAUCGUGCUUUUCCCAACCCCUUAAGAAUUGCCUCAGGUGUCUUAUCUUAUUUUGCCACCUGUCAACAUUCGAGUCACCUUCUGUGAAAUAGCCCAUUCUCAAACCCGUCCCUUUCAAACCAUCCCAAUUCGAAAGAAAAAAGGUUUUUAUUUCCCACAUGUGUUGCUUCUCGCGAGUCUACAAACAGUGGGGUAUGAUCAGAGAUAGCUCUUGGUAACUCUCAAACUGUGACGAGAGGGAAUUUCUGCUCCCAUUCCACACUCAUGAGAACCCGGUCCAACUUCUCAAAAGUUGGGUUAGGUAAAGAGUUUGCCCAAGUAAACUUUCUCCCUGAUAGCUCAAUCUCCCACAAAUUAAGGCUCUCGAUGAUUGAAUUAAACAUAAAUGACCAUCUUCCAUCAAAGUUAUCACUGUUUUUCUCAUCCUGCCUCCAGAUUAUAUUAAAAUCGCCCCCUACUAAAAUCGGCAGUCUCUCGUCCCCGCAGAUUCGGACAAGGUCAGCCAAGAAAUCUCUCUUGAACUCAGGCUGGGCCGCCCCAUGCACAUCUACGAGUGCCCAUUGGAACCCGUCAUCUUUGGAGCGAACUCAAAAUUUGACUGCAAAGUCUCCAUACACCACUUUCGUAGUUGUGGUGUCUCGCACCGAACCCCAAGCAAGAUCCCACCUGAUCUUCCUCUUGGAGGUAGACAAUGCCAGUCAAAUUCAGAACCUCCAUACAACGUGUUUAAAAACGAAGCUAUAUAGUUAUCUCUCCCAGUUUCCAUCAAUGCAACGAAAUCCAAUUUGUGCUCAAUAGUUGUUUCAGCUAGGAAUCUUCUUUUAGCCAAGUCUGCUAGACCUCUGCUAUUCCAAAAUGUUCCUUUCAUCGCUCAUCAUGAAAUUUCUUAGCCGUUUUAAAUCUAGCACUACGACGCACAGCUGAAACAGGAUAGACUUUUCUCUUCCAGGUUCUUUUUGGCCUAUCCUGAACCUCCGACCGAUCCACAUAACCGUUGGACUCUUGUGCGUUAGCAUUCGUUUGUGGAGGAGCCUCAUACCCCUCCUGAACGAUAUCAUUUGUGUCUUCAAGCAAAAGGGGGGUGGCACAAGAUCCUCACAUAAACGCUCUAAGGCUCCCAAACCCAAUGCAUUUAUAUCAGAAUCAUUCAUAGGUUUUACGGCUGCAAUUUUUCUGACCAUCUCAAUUGCCCUCUCUGCCUCUAAGUCUAACAUGUCAUUUACCGAUCUAGAUAUCUCCUGGUCUACCAAACGCUAGAAUAAGGCCUAGUAACGGGCCCGACCCAUGCCAUUUUGGCCCAUGACUGCAACCAAACACACCCUUAAGUAACUUCUACAAUAUCCAUCCCCAACUUCCAGAAAUUCUAACACUUAAAAAAUCAAAAUCAAACUAUUGGCAUUUAAAACUUUCAUACAUUUCAUUUCUGAAAAAAAUGGUCUUUUAGAUUUCGAAAUAUCAGUAUUAUAUUUUUUACAAAAUUUAACUUUAAGAAUUUUCAAAAUUAUAAGGAUUCAAAAUUCAAAUGUUUUAGCACUUAAAAAAAUUCAAACUUUAAAAAAAUUGAACUUUCAAAUGUUUUGAAUUUUAAGAAGUGUGAACUUUCAUUUUUUUAUAAAGGAUGGGUUUUAUUUACUCAAAAUAAAGCAUCAAGAGCAUACAAAUACAAUAAGAACACACCCGGCCACUUUAUAACUAGGAUGCACACAACCAACUCAAACUCACACACACAAAAAUACGAUCGGUAAAUAGCAAAGUCAUAUAAGACCAAAGCUAUGUGCGCGGUUGGAAAAAGAAACCAAAGCGACCAUAUUGGCAAUGGACAAACUACAACAAUGACCAUAUCUGCACCAACAAUUUCAUUACACCACACGGACAACGAGGUUCCUCAACAAUGACACCUUCAGAAAGGGAGCGACGCUCAAAUGCCGCUAUCAUCGGAUCCAACCAUCCAAGGUCAGAUGCAAGAUUUUCACUCUGAGAAUCAGUCCAAGCAUGUCCGAGCAAUUCCUUCAAUAAGGUAAUGGCGUAAAAACAUCGCCAUUGCCAGGUACAGCCAACUCGAGUUGGACCUAGGCUUUCACCCGGGAGCUCAAGACCGGGUGCUCGAGAAGCACCACCAUCGAAGUCACUAUGUGUUGUUGCCACUACUUUUCCACAAUCUCAGUAGCUAUAUGCGAUGUGUGACCGCUGAUGCUGCACAACCAUCCCUCUACAUCAAGCCAUCAUCAAUAGUUUCAAUCUCACCGUUGAAGUCAACCAUCGGAUCUCCAAGAUCAAUCAUGAAGACCUUUUGAUGGAUACUACAUCAAUCCGCCGCGAGACCGCCACCGUAGUCAUGGUGGUCACCACACGUUCGUCGUCACGCCCCUAGCAGACCUAAAGGUCCACACCAAGGAACCACGGGUCCACACGCAUGGAGCCAUGGAUGUGUGUGUGGAUCAUGAAACGACCAAUCCAUGGCCAUGGCCAUUAGAUGAGACUAUCCCUGGCUGAUGGCAGGUGUCCAAGCCCUGCCGACAUGGCCACUACACCAUGGGCGCCAUCCCACAUGAAGGAGCCACCAGGCGGAGCAGCGACCACAAGUGAGGCGAGAUCUACACCAGCAAUGGCUGGAUCAUCCAGGUAACUGUCCGCUGGAUCUGUGGUGACAUCGUUGGAGGAAGCACGGGGUAGAGAGUGUGAAUCUGGGUUGGGGGAGAGGGGAAGGUCGGGGAAGAAGAUCCCUGUGGCGGUUGAGUCCCGCCGCCGCUGACAAACUGUCAUCGAUGAUGACGACGAGGAUGGAACAUCGGAGGCGGCCUCGAGUGCUAGGGUUUCUCGCCCCCGGUGUCGCCCUGGAGCAACACGGGAGGCCGAUGGCGAUUUCAUAGGAGAGAGAGAGAGAAGGUUGAGAAAUAGAAUCACAUGGUUGGGCAUGUGAGGAAAGAGAGAGAUGGAAAGAAGCACAUGGAUGAGGCCCCCUCGUCCUAUCUACCACAUGGUAACCUGACACAGUCACAUGCAAUGCUUGCGGCAAUGACCAUGGGCACAGUUCCCACAAGAGAGCAUUCUUAGAGUAAUAGCGAGUCUCAUCCUCAUGUUGGAUGCCUAUAUAAAGCUUCUCCUUUCCAACAUUCAUCAUACGAAUUGGCCAAAAUUUCUUUCUCAUUUGUGAUCUUUCAUCACAUUCAACUUUCCUUUGUAUAUAUUGUUGCUAAGCUUCAAAUUCUAAUCAGCUGGAGCUAAGCAAUGAAUUCUUCAUGCCAUCGAGCAUUCCUCGUGAGGAACAUCUUUUGUACUUUGGAAUGAGUGGUAUCGAGAAAUUAGUCAGGACGACUUUCUGAGGCUGAGGCGCCGCUUUUUUCUGUUCUCGUCUCUGAGACGUUGAGGUGGUAGACAUUUAUGAUAAGUGCAUUUCUUGUUGAGAAUAGCAUCGAUAAUCAUGUCUAGUCUAACAACUUGCUCAUUUAGGACUACCCUGGACAGUGCAACAAGUAAAAUACCAAAUCCUUGUACAAAAACAAGUUGUUGCCCUGUGGUGAGGAGUUGAAGCUAUGGCAUGAACUCGUCCAUGUGUGCGGUAUUUCUCCUUGUUGUUUCCAUCGUCUCUAGAAAUCGCUAAAAAGAUCAAAAACAAUAUCAAACCGUUGACACUAUGUGUCUACCAUCUCACACAAAUUCGAACCCAUAUCCAUCGCAGAUCUCCAAAAACAAACAAACAAGACGGAUCCAGUGUUGAACAGCAUAGCAACUAAUUCAAAUCAGCACAUGAACACAUCAUAUCAUCAGCACCAACACAAGAUUGUUUUUUUUUCUCUUUUCUUCAAACAAUAUCCUGAUUAAGGUUUAAAUAUUCUUGUGGCGUUGUAAAUACAUGUUGUGUGUCAGAGACAUAAUUCUUUUUCAAAUAAAAAAACAUAACUUUUUUUACCACAAAUUUUUCUAGGCUUAUGUGUGUGUAUCUUCCUUGUUUCAGUUCCAAGUGACAAGAGGCAAACUUGUCACGGUUGACUGAAUAGAACAGUAGCAAUCGACCUGCCCGGAGCUUCUAUUUUUUGUAGGUGAUUUUCUCUGUUAAGAGUGACUUCUUCUUUUUUGAGAGUUUUGUUAAGAGUGACAUGAAAUCUGCAUAUGGCGAUCGAGCACGCAUGCCGGCGAUCCCACACGGCGCACCGCAGCCACAAGCCGAUCGCCCCCACAAAAUCUGCCCGACGGCUCCCACCGGGAUGGGAUUCCCCGGUGCCAAUGGCGCGCGCCCACCUCACCCCCUCUUAUCCCCGCCUCACCCACUCGCGCCACGCCCCUUAUCCCCUCCUCUUACAAACCCACACAAACUAAUCAUCGCCCACCACCCUCCAACGAUCACCAACCAAAACCCCUCCACACGCCCGCCCGCGCGCGCCACGGACGCAGCAAUGGCCGCCCUCGCCGCCUCCAUCGCCACCUCCACGGCGUUCGCCGCGAAGCCGCGCCUGUCCCGCCCGCCGGCGCGCCUCUCCGUCUCCUGCUCCGCGUCCAGCGGCGACAACAACAACAGCACCGCCACCCCCUCGCUCUCCGCCUCCAUCAAGACCUUCUCGGCCGCGCUGGCGCUCUCCUCCGUGCUCCUCUCCUCCGCCGCCACCUCCCCGCCCCCCGCGGCUGCCGACAUCGCCGGCCUGACCCCGUGCAAGGAGUCCAAGGCCUUCGCCAAGCGGGAGAAGCAGUCGGUCAAGAAGCUCAACUCGUCGCUCAAGAAGUACGCGCCCGACUCCGCCCCGGCGCUCGCCAUCCAGGCCACCAUCGACAAGACCAAGCGCCGGUUCGAGAACUACGGCAAGUUCGGCCUGCUCUGCGGCUCCGACGGCCUGCCCCACCUCAUCGUCAGCGGCGACCAGCGGCACUGGGGCGAGUUCAUCACCCCCGGCGUGCUCUUCCUCUACAUCGCCGGCUGGAUCGGCUGGGUCGGACGCAGCUACCUCAUCGCCGUCAGCGGCGAGAAGAAGCCCGCCAUGAGGGAGAUCAUCAUCGACGUCGAG